UGUUAAAUUUCACUUUGUUGAUACUCUGUUUUCUGAUUAUUGUCCUGCUUUGCUUGUCGUUAAAUCUUAACCUUUCUACUUGAUGCUGUUUUAAUUUAUGACAGAUGAUGUUGACACACGUGCAAUCACCCGCAGAUUGAGGCAAGACGGAAGCCUUGUCGGUGUCCUAACCACAGAAGAAUCGAAGACAGAUGAGGACUUUAAAAAUGUCUCGCUCAUGGGACAUAGAAGGUAAAAGAUUCAGUUUACUUGACAGAGAUAUGGUUGUGAGUAUUGCUUAAUUGGCAGUUCUCUCUUUACUGGUUCAAUUUUCCAGGUAUUGAUUUGAUAAGCGGCGUCUCUUGCACUGCCCCUUACGAAUGGGUUGACAAAACAGAUCUAGAGUGGGACUUUAACUGCGAGGGAAGAGGAAGAUUUACCAUGUUAGUAUGACUCGCCAUAGUUUGUUUUCAGUUGAAGAUCUUUGUUUACAAGUUGAUCUACUCUUUCUCAUGCUUAUUCUUGGAUUGAAGGUCAUUGCAUAUGAUUUUGGGAUCAAGCAUAAUAUACUCAGACGCCUAGCAUCUUAUGGCUGUAAAAUCACUGUGGUGCCUUCAAAAUGGCCAGCAUCAGAAACUCUAAAGAUGAAACCGGACGGAGUUCUUUUCAGCAAUGGACCUGGAGACCCUUCUGCAGUUCCUUAUGCUGUUGAAACAGUCAAGGAAUUGCUGGGAAAGGUUCCUGUUUUUGGAAUUUGUAUGGGCCAUCAGUUGCUUGGCCAGGCAUUGGGUGGUAAAACCUUUAAGAUGAAGUUCGGCCACCAUGGAGGAAAUCAUCCUGUCCGCAACCUUCUUGCAAAUCGUGUAGAAAUUAGUGCCCAGGUGAGUUUGCUCAGCAGUGACCUGUUUAAAUAAAUUUCCAAUAUUUGAAUGGUGAAAGUCAUGAAAACAUCAAAAGCAGGUUGAUUUUUACUAAAUGCCAAAGUUAAUUCAUUAGAUAUCAACGAAUAAGCAUGAUGAUAUUAUCCCCCAUGGAUUUUCAACUCAAUGUUUGAAUUAGAAAUUAGAAUGCAAUGGUUAAGACUGUAUGUGCACAUGGUUGCAUGCAUUUAGGGAGAGCUCUCCUUUUAUUCCAUUCUAGUCACAUUCUAACAUGCAACUGGUAAUGUGGCAGAAUCACAACUAUGCAGUUGACCCUGCAUCACUUCCCGAAGGUGUGGAAGUGACGCACAUUAAUCUUAAUGAUGGAAGCUGUGCUGGUCUUGCUUUUCCUGCGCUAAAUGUCAUGUCUCUACAAUACCAUCCUGAGGCAUCACCAGGACCUCAUGAUUCAGAUUCUGGUAAUCAAAGUCCUUUCUUUUAUUUUACUUGUUACUUUUUAUUCCAUUUCUUGCCUUUCUAUGCACAACAUGAUAUUACUUCUCACUACAUAGCUGAUACAAGUAGCUAUUGCAAUUCUGAAGCAGCUAAUGCAAUUCUCAAGUAAUUCCUCUAUACGACUGAAAGGGAGAGGGAGAGCAUAAAGCUUAAUUAAGUCCUAUCCUCGCUUCAUUUCAGCUUUUCCCUCUGCCCACAAGUGAAGCUGGGUGGUGUUUAAUCAUUUUUCUUCUUGUUGAUGAUGAUGCAUCAUCAUUGCAUUAUGAUCAACGUUGUUGUCAUCUUCACCUCAAUGCUUAUAUUAAAAUAUUGGAUGUAAUUUCCUGCACAUCAUAUCAACCUAGUGCUUUCUUGCUGCAGUUUUUGGAGAAUUCAUGGAGUUAAUGAAGAAAGUAAAACAUAAGGCAUAAGCAGAAAUGUCUCUGAUUGUGGGAAGAAGAGACGGUGAUAAUGUCAGGGUUGUCUUGCUAUCAGUUUUGUUGGUCUGUACGAAAUAGCCGAGAUAAUUUAUGUUUUUCCGUUGUAGACCAUUAAAGAAGUUCCGUGGGCUCGAACGUACCAUGUAAAUUGUCCUAGAUUUAUGAUGUCCUAUAUUUGGUUCAACAAGAGAUUCGAUGAAUUUUGGCGUGCUCAGUGAUUAUUCUUUUCCCUGAUUUCUGAAGAGCAACGCAGAAACACAUUUCUGUUUGUUAAUGAUAGUGCGUGCUCAUACAUGUUUUAAAUCCAAAAAUUUUCUCGUGUGUUGUUAGAAAAUUAUAUAAAUUAUAUCUAAAUUUUAUUAUAUGUAAAAAGGUUAAGAUGGUUUUUUAAUAAAAAAUAAAUUUGAGUUAAAAUAAUUUUUUUACGGUAAUAACCUGUGUUAAUGUAAGGUUCCAGAACAUAUAGAGCUCAUUGCAUGUAAAAUUCAUGACAUAGGGCCGAAUUCAGUAAUGGAGAUAUGGUCAUGGUGGGACGGGAUUUGCUUCCUUAAAGUUGUGCUAAAGAAAAAUAGAAUGAUGAACCUUUUUCUUCUAUCAACAACAGAAGAAGCAUAAUAGUCCAUGUUUAUUUCAGGAGUUCCUCCAACCAAUCUCAAUCUUAUUCCUGUUGAGCCUUGUAUCCUUUCUCAUCCUUUGUCUAUAAUUGGAUUCCAUACAAGGUCCAGUUAAGAUUUCAAAGCAUUCUUUAACAAUUUCCUAUAAAAUCUAUAGUUGCUCAAUAAAGGAAACCCUGUCCUUCUGCAACGUACAAGAACUAUAUUGUUCUUCUGAUGUUGCUUUGUUUCGCUCAGAAGUUAAUUUUGGCCUGGAUCCAUCCAUUCUAGAAUCUCAAGAAACUUCUUUGUGUUCGCAUAAUGUAAAAACACAGUCAGCAUUUGAGUGUUGAUAGAAAAUUGCAACAACUGGAGAGCGAAGACUCAAAGCGGCUUCGUUACAGUAACUCAGAAGUCAAAUUAACUGAUUUUUCACAUGAAGAAUACAGUUAGCUCUGAAUCCUGGUGAUAAAAGGAGUUUCAGUAAGUGUUUAUUACUCAAAAAGAAUAUAAAAAAUGGAAAAGAAAGUCUACAACAACAGCAGAAAUACUGUCAAAUGUUUAUUAUUCAUGAAAACAUCUUUAAAAGAAGGGAUGAUGACAUGGUCUUCUUUCUACAAUCAGGGCUAAUCCAUUGUUUGGCUCUUUUUCCAUGUCAACAGCAUCCACUUCGUAAUUUAGGUUUUCUCCUGUGUCAAGUUCCUGCUCGGCACUUCUACCAACAGCAUAUGUUUCCAAGCUAUUACGAUAUACAGCUAUCAUGUAAAACACCCUCCGAUUAAGAUCCUCUUCAUAAGGGCUCAAGUUAUUCAUCCUGAGGAAGUGUCUCUAGCCUUUUGUCAAAACAAAUGUCCCGUUGUAAACCAUAUACGAUAUUUAAGAAGGCAAAUAUGACAGUUCAGUUUUCAAAUGUCCUUUGGUGAAUGACAGGCUAAAAUUCUAAGAAUAAAAGGAAACAAAGUUUCAACUCUUAAGGACUUAUCCAUUCCACUGGAAUCUACAACCAUUAUUUGCACAUACAACGCGUUGCCUUGUCCUGUGAGUGAAAUUUUUUUUUUUUCCAGGAACAAUCAUGUCAAACCACGUAAACUAUACAAUGUGCUUGUUGGCUGAAUCAAGGAUGUAGCCGCUACUGAUUCUAGCAAUAUGACAGUUUCGCAUAACUAUCUUCUGAAAUUCAAUGAUACCUUGACUGAAUAUCAAGUUCAAAACAGUAAGUUUGGAGUUUCAAUUUCUGCAAGUAUCAACGUUUAUAUUCAAUCUAAAUGGGUAGUUUUUCCAGCCAUUUACUCUCCUCCAUAUCUGGAAAAAGAUAAGUCAAUUGUUAAUUAGCUUAGUUUCGGUUUGUGGCUCACAUUGGCGUCGAGAAACAUUAGAUGUUUGUUCUCAAAAGUAGCCUUGUUUCAAAUCAGGUAAAUCAUAAUAAACGCGUUGCUCGUUUUCCUGAUCAAACAGAUCUAGUUUACGGUACGUCAAAGUCGUGGUGAUUAUCAAGAACGAUGCUUUCUAUACUGACAGAAAAGUUCUUCUGCAUAAAUUAUGGCAGUGCAAAUUCUUUCCAAAUCCUAUAAAGCAAACUCACGCUACAGAAGGAUCAUAUUGUUUCUUUAGUAUAUUUAAUAUAUUGAGUUAGUCAACUAGAGAAAAUCUGGAGACAUCUCUUAGGAGUAAAUUUACAAAAAUGGGGUAAGAUUGGAAGAUAGCUUAAUGCAGAUGGUUUAACUCUGGAAGGAUCCCUAAGUGGAGCUUGUUGGUAAAGAGAAGAACCUGUUCUUAGAUUUUGUAAGACCUUAAAUCCAUAUCUGUUUUCGAAUAUAGAUUGCUCUGAGAUCAUUGAAAUUUUAUUACUGGAGCAUUAAGAUCUUUCUUAGGAGUAACGAUACCUUUUUUCAUUUUAAAAACACGGUGAAAAGAUCAUAAUACCCUUAAAUACAAAAAUUUCAAUACUAGUGUUAAGGGCAAUUUGAUACGUUUAAAAUGGCUUUUUUAUUAUUAUUAUAUAAGAUGGGGGUAAUUUUGUAUUUGGUCAAACAUAUAAAAAAUAAAUUCAAAAGCAUAAUGAAACCAUCAAAAUACCAUUGAAAAAUAAAAAAAUAAAUUAAAAUUAACCUCAAAGGGGUUUUUAAAAACAAAAAAAGAUAUGCUUGCGUGCAGAGGCGUAUGGGAGGCAUUAAUGCACUUUAAAUAGCCUGCGAGCAGCCAACACACUUUGGGCUGCUCGCAAGGCGCAUCCCCAAGUCCAAAAUACCCUUCCGCUAGUGGUGGUUUAAUUUGUUGUCGGUAAGCCUUUCUUCUUCUUUUUUUCCUUUUUUUUUAUUUCUUUUCACUUGAAAAUUACAACCUAACCCUCUUUUUUUUUAGUAUUUCAACUUUAGUCCUUAUUGUUUUGAUUUUUAAUUUUUGAUCUUGGUCUUUUUGUAGAAAUUUUAUUUUUCCAAUUUAAUCAUUAUUUUUAAUUUCUAAUUUUUUUUUACCCUUUUAGAAAAGCUAUUAUUCUUUUCAAUUUUAUCAUUAAAUCAAAACAUUGUUUUUAUCUUUUAUGUCAAUUUUAAUCCUCAGUCUUUUGAUAUUUUUGGGUCCUUUUACUAAAUUGAUUUUUUUUUCAAUUUCAUCCUUCAAGUAAAUAUAAUUAUUUUGAAUCAUUUUAUAUAAUAAUUUUUUUUUCAAUUUUGUUAUUUAAUAUCUAAUUUUUCUUUAUUCAUUUCUUAUUAUUGAGGCCACGGAUUUAGCAAGACGUGUCAAGUUAGCUCGGCCUAAUUAUCAUGAUUAUAAAUUUAUCGUGUUAACUUAUUGAUCAAGAUUGAUUUUUUUUUUUUAUCAUUUUUAUCCGAUUUUAUUCUUUCAUAUUUAAUAGGAUGUAAAUUAAAAUAUAUCAUUUAUCCUCUUAAAAAAAUAUCUUUUUCUUAUGUCAUCCUAAUUAUUAUUAUUUUUUUUUAAAAUCAAUUUAUUUAUUGCGUUUCUUUUUUUUUAUCAAAUUAAAAUAAAAUCAAUUUAUUUAACCCAGUUAAGUUUAUGCGCGCGCAAAGAAAAAUAGCCAGGUCUGUGGCGAAUCACGGCCACAGAGACUAGUUAUCUCGAUAAUUAAACUAGACAGCUUUUAAAAUAACCAACGAAACAUUCAACACCGAAUUGAUUAUGACAGAUAAGAUAAAUGCUUACUAUUUUCUUUAUUAACAAUAUACAUAUCAAAUGCUGCCUGGCAUUAACAUUUUCUCAGGGGCAUAAUUUAUAGGAAGAAUGACAAUUAAUCCCCAGAAACAUGUCCAGAAAUUCUUUUGUUAAUUUUAUUCCCCUCUGUACCUUGGUUUCCUCUUUUCAGCAAAUGCUGCCAAGCCUUCCAAGCGAUCUUUUGUGUUCAAGAUCUGUUCAUAGCACUCUUCUUCCAAUUCCAAAGCUGAUGGUAAAUCUAUCUCAAGGCCCUCAUUGAUAGCCUUUUUUGCCAUCCUAAUUGCUACUGGACCCUGUCAAGAGUACACACAGUCAAAGUGUAUGUGCAACAAACAGAAAUUACCAAAUUAGUGCUCUUUGUUCUACAUCCAAAUGACUUCAGUUUUUACAAGGUUUACACAAUACCCUUGAAAUGCUGUGCAUAUGGCCAUCAAGUCAUUUCGGUAUCCAAAGUUAACAGCAGGAGCCCUUAAACCAAUUCAAUCCAGAGAAUAAAGGAUCAUCAAUGCAUUUCCGGAAGUGCCAAACAUCUUUAAAAUCAUUUUUCCCAGUCGCAUGCUAGAAAAGAGUUUUAAAGUUAAAUGAUGGGAUUCUAGUCCCAUGCUUUUGGUUAAGCAUGAUGUUAAAUAUACAGGGCCUUAGAGCUACCAGAAUUUCCCGUCUUGAAUUAACAUUUGAAAACUUACGAGUUCUGAGUAUACUAAGUUCUAGCAGAGAUUUAAUCUUCUAUUUUCAACAACAACGUUUCUGCAGAGCGCAGAGCUGCACUUUUAUUUUGUGCAACAUGAUCUUGUGUGAGAAAAAUCCUUGAGGUAUAUGAUUUGUACCUUCUGAAUAAUCUCCCGAGCAAUUUCAAGUGCUUUUGAAUGAGCUUCACCAGCAGGGACAGAGUAAUUGGCAAGCCCUGCAACAUAACACGACUUCAUUGCCAAAUACGAAUCAAAAACAGAAAAAUUCAAAGCAGCUACCAAGUAAACAUACCCAUUGGCAUAGCCUCUCUACCACCAAUCUUGCGGCCAGUAAAUAUCAGUUCCUUUGCUAGUGAUUUUCCUACCAACCUCGGAAGUCUUUGUGUCCCACCUGCACUAUUAAAGACCAAAGAUUCCAUAAGAGGAUGAUCUAUCACUAAGCGGCCAAUUUCCAAUAAAACUUAAGAAGGCUUCAAGCACAAUGAAGAAUGUUAAAUUUUUACAUAUUAGAAGUCCAUUCCAGGUACAGUUCUUCAUCAAUAAUAGGCAGGAAAAACUAAGUUGCAGAACAGAAUCGCUCUGGCAAUAAGUUGAGGAGAUACUAUGCAUCCAUGGUUGCAUAUAUUUAUAAAGAAUGAUGGAUGUCCUUUUCUUUUCCGUGGAGCAAGCAAACUUGCAAUCAAAUAAAAAAAAUGAAAAGAACAUGUAGUUCCAGGUAAGUAACUAUGAAUGACAAACAAAAUAUAGUAAAUACCCAGGAAUUAUGGCAAGUCCUGUUUCUGGCAAGCCCAAUACUGCAUCUUCUCCUGAAUCAUUGAUAAAGGGCACAGAGAUGUAAGAAUAACGUAUCGAUUAUCAGGAUAUAAUUAUACAUAAGAAAAUAUUGUUCAGUGUGGCAAAUGUGUGAGAGAUUAAAUCUGCAACUACCACAUAUCCGAAGAUCACAUGACAAAGCCAUUUCAAGUCCACCACCUAAUGCUACUCCUUCAAUAACAGCGAUGGUAGGAACAUGGAGUGCCUACAUUUACAGAAACAUGUUGCUCAUUAAGUGGUCAAGGAGGAGAUAGAAGUUGAGACAAAUGCACUGACAUAAAGACAUCUUAUAAUAAACACAUGGAUCUAAUAUUCUUGGGCUAUAGUAUAGGUGGAAAGUUUUGAAGGAGUUGGCUACAUGCAAAUUCAAAUCUUUGAACAAAAGGUAAAGAAGAGCUGUAAGAAUUUCAUGCAUACCUGGAGAACUAGAAUUUGAACAACACAUACACAAUUCAUCCAUAUGUGGACAUGUAACCCACCCCUGUAACUGUUCCACUCAGACCAAGUCUCACAAACACAUUCUCACAUCAACUAUCUACGAUGUUCAAGUAACAAAAAACAUAAAUAACUAUUAGAAAAGAUGUAGACAAUUAUAAGGAAUCACCUCUAUGAAUGAGAACGUAGAUCGCAAUGAGUUCACAAAAUUUUGAACUUCAGAUGGAGUCAUUGUCUUGCGCUCCUGCCAAUCCAAUCAAAGGCAGAUCAGUCAGGUAUCUGAUUCGCUACCAAAUAUAUGUGCAGACUUGCAGUUUCCUAGAGGAAAUACUAUUGCUACUGUCAUCCUUACAAGAAAGAAAUAAAUAACUAGCAGAAAGGGGAAAUAAGAACAACAAAAAUCACUAAAAGGCCACACGAAAAGCCUCAAUGUCCUUCUGAACAUAGAGAAUAUAAGUCACAGCCCAUAAGUGAGUUUAGAGAACCUGAAAACUUAAAUUCUAUGAGUAUGAAAGUGAUGCAGGAGGAUCUGAACAGGCAGAUACAGAACUAUUGCAAUUGGACCACGGGGAAAGCCUAGCACACACAUUUAUGGACUAGAUGGACAAGUUUAAGCGCAAGAAGCGGUUUAACUUUUGAUCCGCUAAAUCAUUCUCAAAUUUUACAGGAGAAUUUACAAGUCAUGUUAUAUUGAGGGUCGGCUUGUUGUAACUAGCCAAGGUUGUGAAAGACCUUCAAACUAGGACCAUAAGAUGCUGUUUUUUCUAGUUUUAGCAUAUCACUUCCAUAGUUGUAUUGAACCAAAACAGAGUGGGACGAGAUUCAAAAGAAAGAAAUUGUUGAUUAUUUGCCAUCAGUUCAGUAAAAUGUACAGAGAAUCUAAACAACGCAACUGGACUUUAAGAUUAGAACUUAGAAACUCAAAGAGAUGAAGUCUCCUCUACUUUCUAAUUGACUGUCGUAAGCUUUCAGCUAAAAGAGCAAGUUGCUUUCCAUGUAAUCUCUUUCUUUUGGGAUAUAAUGACAUGAGACCUUUCGUGACAUGGCAAAAGGUCUUUAACAAACAAAAUCCCCAACUAUUAUUGAGGAAGGAGAAAAAUCAAAGUCCAAAGAGUGAACGCAUUACCUUUAAAUCAGCACCAGCACAAAAAACCUUUGGAACCGAACUGCAAAUCAAAACAACCUGAGCAGAUUCAUCACUUUCGAUUGUUUCAAAAGCAUUGCGUAACCCUCUUAACAUUUCCUUUCCAAUUGAAUUUUUUGCUGCAGGCCUAUCCAAAUUAACCUCAACAAUCCCUGUUUUAGUAACGAAACUCAAAUGGGUUCAUAUUUAAACGAUCUAAAACAAAAGGGAGUACAGAACCAAACACUAAUGCAGAGAGUUUGAGGUGGGAUUUUCACCAGAAUCCGAAUCUGACAACCUUCGAAGCCUGACUGAUUCAUAGGAUAGGGAUUCCAAGAUGAGGGUUCUAUGGGUUUGGUACUGAUGACCGUUGCUGUAAAUGUAAAGAUUCGGCAAGUUAUUCGAUUUCGAAUUUUUCACGCAGCGAUGACCCAAUGAUCUUGUGAGAGCAGUGAAAGUACCCAUUUGUCUUUUUCUUUGAUUCUUGAGAGAUUUAGUGGGUGUUUGGACGGGAAUAGAGAGACAGGUUCGGGUUUCUUUCUUUGAUUUUAGCUGGGGAUGGCCGUGGUAAGCUAUUUCAAUCAUUCGUUAAUCAAUAUCACUAAUAAUAAAUUGUUGUUAUUAUCGGGUAAAACUAUCAAUUUACUCUUGGAUAUUAUAUUAUUUAUCAAUCGUGCUCUUCCAUACAAAAACCAAUUGUAAUUUUUAACUUAAACCUUUUCAUCAACUAUUUUCAUAAAAAUUAAUAUUUUUUUGUGUGUAAUAAAAAAUAUCUAUUUUUUUAAUAAAAAAAAUAACAAUAAAAGAUAUAAUUUAAUUGGUCAGGAUUUAGGUUUAUUCAUUAAAAAUUAUUAAUUCAAAUCUCACAAACCUCAAAGCUACUAGAAACUUACAUGGUUUUUAAUUUCAAGACUAGUGAAAUUAAUCGAAAUAUACGCAAAUUAGUCUAAAUAUUUAUAUUAAUAAAAUUAGCACGUAAUAAAGAGAGUUUUUUAAAUAAAUACAUUUAUAUUCAAAUAGAUUCAAUAUAUAACCAACUUUAUUCAAAUUUUAAUAAACACGUGAACAUUAAUUUUUUAUAUAUAUGUUAUUUUAACUUAAAAAUGAUAUUUUUAUACACUUAUAAUAAAAUCACACGCUUGUUACAUAUAAGAUUGUCAAUUUUAAUUAAAUUAUUUAUUAGAAAAGUAUAUUAAAGAAUAUAAACAUACUAAAAAAUUACGUACUUUUUUUCAUAGAAAAACAUAAAUGAGAAAUAAUGUAAUAUAGAAGAGCAUGUAUUAAUAUAUUUCCCCUCCUUCUUUUUCUUACUGCUUUUAUAGAUAAAAACCUAAGCCUUCAAUGGAUCCUUGGCAACAAACAAUUCAUUUUGAUGAUUUAGAUGAAAAUCAUGAAACAGAAGAGCAGCUCUCGCAUUAACAAACUACUUAUUUGCAUAACUAAUCAUUGUUUUUAAAUUUAAUUUUAUCCGUUUUAAAUAAUAAUUGAUUUUUAAAAUAUUUUUUUAUUUAUAAAUAUAUUAAAAUAAUAUAUUUUUUUAUUUUUAAAAUCAAUACUUCAAAAUAAUCUAAAAACACCAAAAAAAAAUUAAUUUAAAAAAAAAAAAAUUUAAAUUGAUUUUGAAAUCCAAAAAACAAAAACAAAAUAAAAAUGCGUAUUUAAACUAAUUAUGGAAUAUUUAAUUUUAAUUUGUACAGCGAAAAUAAAAGAAUUUGCAUAACAUAAUCUGAAAAUUUUAUAAAACCAAAUAGGUUUUUUGACUUGUAUAGUUAAAAAAGAAAGAUGAUUAAGCUGAAACAUACCAAUCCCAGCCCCUUCGUGGUUGUUCAUCAUUUUUUAGGUGAUGAGAGAUAAGAUUCGGGUUUUUCUAUAUAACCCCCUAGAUUGGAUUCGAGAUGUUUGCCAGGCUCAACGAAGACAACUUUCUCGGAUUGGUCGAGCAAAAACAUUCCAAACAAUCAAUUGAACAAAUAAAUUGAAACACAACUAGAACACGACCAAACCUAACUCAAAUCUCUACCGCUUUAUCAAUGAAGAACAUAGCUAAUUCUUUCACUUCUAUGGACCAUCCAACUAAACAAACAACACAAGUUAGAAUGCAACGAAGAAGACAAUCUCAAGCCCAAAUUCGAUCUGACUUUGCGGGUACCUUGUUAAGCAAGAUCGAAUUUGUGCUUGAGCUCGACUUCUACUAUGCAAUGGACGAAUCUUCGAUCAAUUCAGCGAUCUGGGUUCUUUUGGUAGGAGGGAGAGCAGGCUUCUGAUGGAUAAUACCAUACACACUACUAUCGACUGUCUUUGGUAAACGGCGAGCUGCUCUUUUUGUGAAGGCUAUUUUUAGGGUUUGGUAUGUGGUGGUGGAAAUUGGAGAAUAAUGAUUGAAUCACUCUUUACACGUGAUUAUACUCAAUUGGCUUCAAGCUGAAAACUUGCCCCGCCGACUAUGACUGUAGUCCGACCGUCAUAGGCCUUAUACAGGCGAGGGUCUGACACUUUGGGCUCAAAAUGAUACACUUAUCGAGAUUCGGUAGUUAAGAAAAAAGAGGUGGAAAAAAAAAAAAAAUCGAAGUUGUUGACAAAGUGUCUGGCCAAAGGCCCAGGUCAUCGUGUAUCAUCCAAGUACAAGUCCUCUACAGAGUUUUCAACUUAAAGCUGUUAUAGCCUAUGAACCCAUCGUUCAAGUCGAAGCUGCUUCAUAGGAGGUCCCAAAUUUGGCUUACUCUUCUGAGGACACUUCCAUUUUCCAGUGACUCCAAUCACAUCAGGGUGUUCAAGAUUAGAAACUUCUGAUAGCACCUUUCUUUUUACAGCGGCAUCCUUUUCACCAUCUCUUGAAGUCAUCCCUCUACCUUUUGGACAUUCCAACAAAAUCUGUUGUUGCCUAUGCAUGUCCAAAGAAUUUUCAGCAUUUGGUUUCGCAAUUCUACUCUUCCUUGUUGUAACAAAACCAUUUCGUUGAGCUUCUUUUCCUUCAUUUUCUUUGUUAUUGCUCCUUCCAUGGGUUGACUGACUCGUUGAAAAAACUCCGGCACCUCGAACAAAGUUCGCAUUGCCCCGAGGUGAUACAAGAUCAAUUUCUGUUUGAGCUUUAACCAAGUUUUCUGCGGAAUCCUUCCUGCAGUUCAACGUUGUUGCAGAUUUAUCGCUUGAUCUCACAUUACUCGUGACUGACAUAAAACCAACUUCUUGCGCUAGAUUUUGCAUCUGUGGCUGUUUAAAUGGAGGCACUUCUAACCUCAAGCUUGGUUUCUCAACAUCUUUGGUUGGAACAAUAGCAUGGCUCGGAACUGAUUCAUCUUCCAUGCUAAGCUCCCCUUCAUGGUGCAGAUUAUCCAGAAUAGAUAAGCCCUCUUUCUCUACAUCCCAAGAGUCCUGUGAUGUGAAAAGUGGAUGUACAAAUGACUUGGAGAAUCACUAAAAAAACACCCCCUUCCCCUUAAGACCAGCUAAAACACCAUCAUGCUGAAAAGAAAGAUAUUAGCUAUAAAACCUGUCAAACAUGUCAAAGCUGACCUGAGAGGGAGAAACCUUAUUCAAGAAUUUUUCCUGUUUAUGUUCUCCCAAGGAGCUAUUGAACUUCAAAAAUCCAUUUGAGUGUUCAAUUUCAUCUGAACUUCUGUUUUGUCCUAAUUUCCGUGAAUUCGUUUCUUUAUCUCUCUUGCUGUCUUGAUUAGCAAAAUCAUCUCCCUCGCGUUCAGUUUUGUCAUGAAGAAAUCCAACGCUUUCACCCAGUACAGGAGAUUCAUACACGUAGCUGGGAACCAGUUCCUUAUGUCAGGUGGCUCUGGCAGACAAGAGACACAAAACAACGUUAUUACCCUAUAAUUAGCUAGUUUAGAUUUUUCACUUCCUUAUUUUACUCUGAAAGAAUCAAAGUGAAAAGUAGAUUCCCGUGGUUUUUUCAGCUUUCGUUGAUUCAGUAAAGCCAAGGAAGCAUGUUCUGAAAGUGCUACUAACCAGAAAGGAAUGAGGAUGAUUGAGAAGAAUCUGGAACCUGCAACGUUCAAAUAGUAACUAACUUCAAACACCAUAUGAUGGCUGAGAAUUUGCGCAACAAGUGAAAGAAUAUCAACAGUGAUCAAUGUAACACAAGUAAGAAUGAUGGAUUGAGCAAAUGCACCUUACUUAAAGGCUUGUUGUCACACGCAUCUCCAAAUGACCUCUUACACUUAAUGGACCCAUUUGAGGAUGGCUUCUCAUUAGCACGUACUUCAUUGUUGUUUCCAGAGUUGCUCAAAUCCCCAGCCUUUUCUUUUCUUCUGUUCUUACUCUCUUCAAUAGCAAAUUCAUCCUUCUCACCUUCACUUUCUUUAAUAACAGAUUCGAUAAAAUACUCCGCUGUAUCCAGAACAGGAGAUUCGUACUCAUAGCUCGGAAACCAGUUUCUGAUGUCAGGAGGCUCUGAUAAAAGAGACAAAAUAAGUUUAAAACGGUUUCGUGUCCUUAGUUUAUUUACUUAAAGGACAGAAUGGUGAGAAUUGAAGGUAUCUUUUCUUUCUUAGAUCACAAUGUCAGCCAAGAAUACUAACCAGAGAGGAGAGACAAUGAGCACAAAGAAUCGGGCAUCUAUAACGAAAAAUAAGAAAGUGUGUUAGAUAUGAGAAACUUUUAGCAUGUAAUUAUUUUAUUUAUUACUUGAACAAACUAGAAGAUACAAAUACAUGAUUAUGCUAAAUAAGGGACACCAAGAACCCAAGUCAUUGCCGGUGACAAGAUCACGAUGUUCAAAUCUAAAUCAAUCAAUUCUAUCCUAACCAAAACAACGGUAAUUGACAGGAAGCCUAUUAUUGAAGUGUGCUAAAUAUAGUAAAAACCACAGGUAAGAACCUCACCCAUCCAUGAUUGUGUCAAUGAAUCACAACACUGAAAUCCAGACCCAAAUUACAAGUUACAGCAAUCAUCCAUUUGAUAAAAGAUAUGGAUUGGUAGUAAUUUCCAAUUUAGGUGCAAGAAAGUAAGAGGUCAGUAAUUAUACCUACCUUAUUAAAAGACUGAUCUUCGUGCUGCUUAUCAUCAUCACUGCUGUUGUAACCGAUUCUUGUGGCGUCGCAAGAAAUUGUUUCCUUACCUUUACUUCCCUCAAUGCAAAGACACCCAUCUCUCGUACACUCAAAGUCAGUUUCCUUAGGGAUAGGACCUCCAAAAACAUCGUAAGUAUCCAAAACAAAAGAUUCAUACUGGUAACUAGGAAACCAGUUUCUUAUAUCAGGUGGCUCUGCAAGAAACCAUAUAAAGAAACUUGGUUAUAUAGCCAUUUCAGAAUACAUUGUUUUUUACUCAAGAAAAUGGAUAGGUACCAGAAGGAAGCGGCAAAGAAGAAUCAGGAACCUGCACAAAGUAAGUGGGGAAGGUCAGAAACAGAAAGGAGGAUAUUUGGGUUUGAGAGAAAGAAAUGAUGCUUACCGCCUGAGAAUCAGAAUCAGAGGUGUUUUCCAUUAGAGAUUGAUCUCAAUAUCAAUCUAUCUAUCUAUCUAUCGCAUACCAUACAAAUACUACAAGGAGAUUGACCGGGGGCUAUAGUAAGUACUAAAUAAUGAAGAAACUAAAGACUGAUCAAAACUCCAAGCCCUAGCUAGGAGUAUAAAAAGAAAGAGCUCUAAAGAGUUAAGACUUAAUUUAGCGUAUGAACAAGAAGAAAGAUCAAAAACAAGAACUGUUUCUUUAUCUUUGAUUCAUGGUUAUUAUGGAUGCUAGUGUGUGUUUCAGUGUUUGCCUUCAUUUGGGGUGCGUCAAGUUCUUGGGGGAACUGUGGGGUUUUGUAUUUUUCUCUGUAAUUAGGAUUUCUUUCACCUUUUGAAACCUAGCGGGACUCUUUUGGCGCCUGUUUUUUUUCUUGAAUUCUGAUGGGCACAAGCCUAAGCUCUUCCGACAAGCCCAAGCUCAACACAAUAAGGUUUGGCAGGCCUGCCUUCAACGACUGGUCCAGAUAUUUAACCAUCGAGAGUUAUGGGUGCGCUCAAGGUUGAACCGAGAUUCAAGCUAAACAUGAAAGGACAUAUUAUUAUUUAAUAAAAUCUAUUAAUCCUUUUUUAUGUUUUUAUAAAAUAAAUAAAAAAUAGAGUGAAAAUUUAAUGACUUAAUUCGAGAGAUCAGAAGAAAUUAAAAAAACAUUUUUAAACUUGAAUCAAAACAUGACAUUAUAAGCAUGUUUGUUUUUACAGUGAAAAAGUUUUUUUAAAAAAAAUAUUUUAAAAAUUAUUAAUUUUAAAUUACUUUUUUAAUAUUUUUAGAUCAUUUUAAUAUUUUAUAAAUAAAAUAUAUUUUGAAAAGCAACCAUCACAAUGCUAAACAAACUCUAUAAUAAUCAAGUUAUUAAUUUCAUGUUUUAUCUAGUUUAUGACGGUUUUAUCUAGUUCAUGAAAUAAUUUCAUGUUAUUAUUUCUUCUUCUUUUUUUAUUGAUGUUCCUGGUUUUGGCUACUAAACUUAAAAAGAUUUUGUAAAAUUAAUUCACAACUUUUUUCAAGUUGAACAGUUUAUUUGAUUUGAUUUUAGAAUAUUUUUAUAUUUAAAACACUAAGAAAAUAAAUUAGAAGAUUCUAAGAUAUCAUGAAAUUAUAAUCAUCAGUUAAAGAUUUAAACAUUUUAAGAAACCCUCUUCAUAUUUAAAUAAAAUAUUAUAAAAACUCUCCUUUUAUAUUCAAAACACCCUUAAUUACUAUUCAAAUAUUGGAUAAAUUAUAAACUUAGACAUUAGAAAAAGAUGUUCAAAAAUUAAAAAAUCAAAUCAAAAUCAACCAAAUUAAAUGAUGAAUUUUAUAUUCUAUAUCUACCAAAUACAUAUAUUGGAUUGAAUUUCUCAUACGCAGCAUUGCCAUACGAACGGGGACAAGGCUUUAAAAUUACACCUGGGAUUCCUCAGGUAUUAUUGCAUGUGGAUUUUCACUUUUUCGUCCUCACUUGAUCUUUCGUCACCAGGCCACCAACCCAAACUGUUCUGAACAGUAUAAACCAUUCUAACCAGACUCUGUAGAUUGAUUUUUGUUCUAUUAACAAAACAAUUCUGUCUAAUUUUGAACUAAUUUAAAAGAGAGAGAGAAAAGCAGAUUGAAACUGGGCUUCGACAAAAAGCCCAACUCUCCCUGGCGUGGCUUAAAGCUAACUCGCUUGGGCAACCCAGGCAAGCGCCAGCUAACCCUGGUCAAGCCCAAGGUUCCCGGUUGAACCCACCUCUCUCUUUCAGUUUUUUGUUUCGUCUUUAAUUUCAAUUUCAAGACGAUGUUUUUAUGACGAUGACACGGCGAAUCAUGCAAGCUCUCUUACCGCCAAUGAGGCCUGCCCUCUUGUUCAACACAUAAGAAUCUUUUAGUCGCUACAUGGUAUAUAGUCGUACUGAUAGCGCCACCCUAGCUUGCCGCCCUGAGUACGAGUAGGGUUGGCACCGCCGCACUUGUAAAAAAGAGGUAAUAACAUUUCCUUUUGGGAGACAGAGGUAGACACUCAUCUCGAUGACACACUGAAUAAUCUUUUCACCUGCUUAUCCUUAAACUAACAAAAACUCAAAAAACUGAAUGAGGCAUCAGAGAGUUUUUUACAUGUGACACCAACUCAGCUCAUACCGGUGUCGUUUAAUCCAUCAUCAGCUGUGAAAAAACCCGAAGAUCUUUCAAAGCUUCUACCACUUCAUCUAACCCUACAAUCUAUUUUUAGGGCAUAACGAUAUUCUUAGGGUUAGGAGUAUAAAGUGUGAGGAGAGAUGAACGACAAAUCUUCUGAGGGGGACGCGACCAUUCAAGCGGCGUGGACAGAGGCGUGGAGAAGACUUAGCCAAGGUGCGGCCAGGCGGUGGAGACGACUUGGCUAUGAAGAGAGGUUGUGCGCGUAUUCAGGAUUUCCCAUGUAGGAUAAGGGACCUAAGUAAGGUGCGGCUUGAUGAAUUUUGUAAAGGAGUCCGAAUUUCAUGCCUUGAAUUAGUGUAAAUUAAUAUGUUUAAUCAAAAUAUCCAUUGAUUUAAAUGUGUAAAUUAAAAGAUUUCAUCCAAGAUGUGCGCGUCAAAUUAAUCCACCUAUACUUCAAAUGUGUACAUGAACAAGCAUGGAGAGAAGUUCCUAGCCCUUUUUUCCGGCAACAAAAUAUGAUUUUUGUUUUUAGCAUUUUAAUUAAUAGAUUUAGAGAAAAUAAUCUGCGUCGGUAUUUUCUUGGAAGGGCAUUGUUAAUUGAUUAUACGUGUAAAGCGUUAAAAUCGGCGUUCAAAUCUCGGAAGACCAAUUCAAAAAUUGCCUCCUAAAGUUUUCUUUUUAUUAUUAUUUUCAAAGAUGUUCACACUAAACAUUAUUAAAAAAUAAUUUUUUUUAUUAGGUUUGGUUUUUAUAAAAAAAAAUAACAAAUCAAAUUUUUUAAUAAAAAAAAUUAAACCAGUUCAAACCGAUCAAUUUUGGUUUAGUUUGGUUUUUUGGACAAAACCGAUCAAACUGGUUUGACUCAUUUUUUUCGUUUGACUUGAUUUUUUUAUUUGGCUCGGUUUUGACUUGGUUUUUUGGUUUUGCUCGGUUUUUUUAUUUGACUCGAUUUUUUUUAGCUUUUUUAUUUGGAUUCGGUUAAAUUCGAUUUUUUAAAAAAAUUAAUCUGUUUUUAUAAUUUGAUUUUUUCAAUUUUUUUUUAGUUUUUUUCUAAACAUUCAACAAUCUUUCAAAAAGCUCGAACACGAAGCCUUCAUUAAUUUUAUAUUGUUCCCUUACAUAAGAAUUAGGCUCGCACGUUGUAAGCAAGUUCUGAGUUUUUUGUUUGUUUACUAUAAAUAGAAUCUGUCAGCAUAAGUCCAAACCCUUAAGGAGGCGGCUGUAAGAAAUUAAAGAUUUAUGCGUUCUUAUUGUAUCAUCGUUCAUUCCUAAAAUGUUUUUUAUUUAAAAAUAUUUAAAAAUCUAAAAUAUAUAAAAAAAUUAACUUUAAUUAAAAAUCCAAAAAUUUUUUAUCACAAAACAUACAUAUUUUUUUUAUCUCCCAAAAUUACUAAAAUCUUAUAUAAGUAUUAACUUCAAGAUCCGUAUGAUUAACCAACACAUAUACAAACUAAUCUAAACACCUAAAUUAAACCAGAAAAAAAAAAUCACCAUUACUUGAUCUAAUUCUUUUGUACAGUGCAUAAACGUGUUCAGAGCAGUUCCAAUUUCUUAACCCCAAUCUUGUCUCCACUCUGAAACACUUUUUCCACCCAUUCGUGCGCUCUGCUCUUGGAAGCAACCAGGAAGAACAAACCAGAUGGAUAAGAAAUGCCUUGCCUUGUAAGAUUUAAAAGAACAAUAAUAACCUAACAGCCUGUAUUUUUAAGCCCUAGCCGUCAGACUGUCCCUUUGACUACGAUCUUCAACUCAAUCCAACGGUUCAGAAUGGAUGAAGACUGCGAAGCGGGGAAGAGUUCUGUGGUCAAAGAAGCUCCGUGGAAAAGUCGCCAUUUUUCAUUAUUCGUGUCAAACCCUCUGUGCGUAUGUGUAUAUAUAGACCCUUCCCACUACUCCUUCCACUCCCAUUCUCAGCUCCCUGAAUAUUUCAAAACACAACUAGCUUUAGAUUUAGAAGGGAAAUCUCUUAACCUCUUCUUUUGUUCUUUGAAAUAAUUUUGAAGCUCAUCUCGAUCCAGUAUUGCAAAAGAUGGAAACGGAUCAAACUCAGCAGUAUCUUCAGCCUUAGAGUUCAUCAAGCAACAUUUGCUUGGCGAUCUUCUUUACCUGUUGCUACUCCUCCGCUUCUUUUUAUCAAUUUUCUACAAAUUCUGAAACUCUACUUCCUUACAGUGUGAGACUACUAGCUGCUCAAGUUCUGACUUUUCCAUGGCACUCCCUGAUUGUUUCGGUUCUCUUCUAGUUCACUUCCGUUUUGAGUCCCGCUCAAGAGAACAACACCAAUAUCUUCGAAUUUGAACCUAAACCUGAAAUCAUUGAUCUCUUUACGCCAACCCCACUCAACUCAACCUCCCACAUCAAUUUCCAAUCAAGCAGCAGCGGAAGCGGCAGCAGCGGCGGCAGUAACUUCUUCGAGUUUGAAGCCAAACCUCAAAUUCAUCAGAAUUUCGAAUUUGAGUCGAAACCACAAAUCGUUUCUCAGCGAAGCAACAGCUUCUUCUAUGAAGAACCAAAGCCUCAGGUUCAAACAGCUCGGAAACGCUCUUUGAAAAUAUCGCUGCCUAGCAAAAAACCCGAAUGGAUCCAGUUUUCUUCUAACCCAAACCCGCAAACCGUGAAGGAUAAUUCUGGUGUUGCUGCUCAAGAGAUAAGGCAUUACAGAGGAGUCCGACGCAGGCCAUGGGGCAAGUACGCAGCGGAGAUCCGGGACCCGAACCGGAGAGGUUCACGUGUGUGGCUAGGAACCUUCGAUACAGACCUUGAAGCCGCUAAAGCCUAUGAUCGAGCUGCCUUCAAGCUGCGUGGGUCGAAAGCGAUUCUCAAUUUCCCAUUAGAAGCCGGGAGGUGUGAGGAGGAAAGUGAGAGGAAAAGAAGUAGAGAGGGUGGCGUGGAAGAGAGAGAGGAUGUGAAGAGGGUAAUGACGGUGGUUAAGAGGGAGGAACCUGAAACUGAGGGGGAUAUCCAGUUGACGCCGUCAAGUUGGAUGGCUGUUUGGGAUGGUGGUGAUACGAAGGAUGUCUUCAAUGUGCCCCCGUUGUCACCGUUAUCUCCUCACCCGCCAUUGGGAUUCCCACAUCUAACGGUUAUUUGAUUAGAAGUUUCUCUUCAUGUUAUUCCAGAUUCUUUUUUCCAGAAUGUGUGUAUAUUAGAAAAGAAUAUUAAUUUUUUUUCCACAAUAAUAAUUACUAUAUUUUCCCGUAAUCAUUAUUCGAUCCAGCCCUCGAAUAUCUGUUCGUACGAAGAACUAUAUGAUAAUAUUAUUAGUAGAGAUGUCACAUUUUUACCAUGUUAUAUGCCUUGCGUUAUUACUGGUUUUCUAAAAAAAAUAUUCUUUCCAAAUAUAUCUAAUUAGUUUAAAAAUUAACCUCAAAUAUGCUUCACAAACAAGACCGCAAUCCAAAGUCAUAAAGACAGAUUGUUUAAUCUUACGUAUCUAUGGAUCUUAAGAAAGAUAUCAAGCGGGAUCCGUGGCAGAUGAUUGGCAACUCUAUCAUCAACAAAAGUAAAACCUAAAUAAUUUUUUUUGUCUAGUUUCUAGAAAUUGAACCUUGAAGCAAUUAACAAUGGCGGUGAAAGCAAGUCUUACGGGGCCUGCAAGCAUGAUUUUUGCGUUAAAUAUUCGAUUUUUACCUGAUUAGUCAAAAUCUCCCUGUGCAGAAUGAACGGGUCUUCCCAGUGGCUUGUCCAUGCCUAUAUAUAUAAUUUUAUUUUGUAUGGUACGACUUAAUGUCGAAGACAAAUGCACAUGAAUUUAAUAUUUAAUGUUGCUGGGGAGAUGCACAUCCAGGGUGUGUCCUCACCUUCGUUGGCCUUUUGACAUCUUCAUUGAAUUUUUAAGAAUUCAAAUUCUGAAAAGCUCCACAAAUUUUUGACUUUUUCUGGCUGACCAAUCUCAUGCUUAUCUAUUAUAUAUUCGGCUAUUGCAAGAAUCGUAUAGCUACCAUGUGAAUUUACGGGACUUGUGCAGGGAUUGAGAGAAAUAAGAGAAUUAUUGCUUAAUGGUCAGAGAAAGCGAUUUAGCAAAAUGGCUUCCUUAGGAAGCAUGCUUCCAAAGAAACUAUUUAUUUUUAUAUUUUAAAAGUAGUUUUAAAAAAUUUAAAUUUUUUUAUUAAUUUUAAAUUAAUAUAUUUUUAGUGUUUUCAAAUUAUUUUGAUGUGCUGAUAUUAAAAUAAUUUUUUAAAAAUAAAAAAAUAUUAUUAACAUUUAUUUUGAUACAAAACAUUAUUUCAAAAGCAAUUUCAACCACACCGCCAAACAAAUUCAUAUUCUAUAACAAGGAGUCGUGUUUGUAUGAUCACCACUCCUCCCCUAAAGCCCCAUGCUUGAAUGCUGUCGAACUCAAACAUGGGUAUGCAUUGAUCAUAGAGAAAUUGAACAAUAUUUAGAGAUAUAAAAAUCUGAAAAGGAAAUAUAAAACCACAACUAUCCAAAUAGAAAAAUUGAUAAAUACAGUUAGUUUAUUUGUUUUUGCGUUUUAAAAAUAUUUUUGAAAAAAUUAAAAAAUUUUAUUUUAAAUUAAUAUUGUUUUGAUGUUAAUUUUUAAAUUAUUUUGAUGCGUUGAUUUCAAAAAUAAUUUUAAAAAAAUAAAAAUAUUUAUUUUAAUAUAUUUCUAAAUAAAAAACACUCGCAAGCACACUCCUAAAUUACCGAUUAAAGUAAAUUGAAAGGCCCAUUCAUACUUGGUGAGCAUGUGAGGAUAUAUACCUUGUGUAACAGAUGGAAUCUCUAUGAUAAUAUAAAUAUAUAUAUGAACUAAGAAUUUCAGAAAAUCUUAAAUCUCUAGUUUGAAGUUUGAUUAAUCUUUGUAACCAACAAAGGAUCAUGCUUUAUUAAUUCUGAGAUCAAACUUUUGGCCGAACCAAUUACUUGACUUGGAUGUUCUAGAAAACUAAUUAAUAUAUGGAAUAGCUCAAUACUAACGUGGUAAAUGCAUUUACCUCCUCACGGGAUGAUCGUUCGACUAAUUAAUUAGAAAAACAAGGGAAUGGCAAUAUGUAAGACUCAUAGUAACGUUAAUCAGCUUUGUCAGUGCUUGAAAGUUGAAACAUUCAGAGUUUCUAACUAGGAAAAAAGCGAGCUGGAAAAGAAAUAAGUGAAAGCGAUGAGAAAGAAGAUGAUAUGUGUAUCUCUGGGUAACUGUGGAGAACUGAGAAUAUCAGCCAUCCAAACUACCGGCCAUUCUCCGAAGAAAACAAAGCCUCUACUGACUGACGACGACAGGUACGGUCGUGAUCAUGGUGCAUGGCCAUAAUGGGCACCCACUCUCCGACCAAGACAGGUACGGUCGUGAUCAUGGUGCAUGGCCAUAAUGGGCACCCACUCUCCGACCAAGACAGGCGUGCUGCUCACUUUGACGCAGCGAUAUUUCAACAUCUUCUCCAUGCAUAACAACACCACACAUAUUUCUCUCUCUAUAUUUCUUGUAAAAUUGUAGUUCUUUUUGCAAGAGAUGGUCGUGAACCGUGCAACAAAACAAACCGGAGAUCACCCAGAAAGAGGAGGGGAAAAAAAGAAGAUAAAAAAAAUCGGGGUGGCGUUUUCAAUCUAGUCAGGGGACAUUGAUUGAAAAUUGUUCAGUACCGAACCUUCAGAAAAUUCAACACCGGCACUCAGUCAAAGUCAUAAGUAUCCAGCAACUAGUAACUCUGGCGUCAUCUAUUGCUUUGGGAAUUUAGGUUGCUAUCAUUAACGAGGCAUUCAACGCUGAGACUUUCGUACUAGCUAGCUUUGUAAAAUCAAACUCAUUUAAAAAUAUCAAAUAAGUGCAACGAGGAAAACUCAUUUGAAAAGUCAAUUGCAAUGAAAUAGAAGAAAUAAGCACUUUAUUUUUCUUUAAGAAGUUUGAUGUCAUUUUUUUCCCUUGUUGUUGCAUUUAAAUGAUUUAUUUUUUUGGUUGGCUCUACUUUGUUGGUUUUAGUUUUCUUGAAAGAUAUAUAGGAAUAGUAUUUUUUUAAAAAAAAAAAGUAUUUUGACAUUUUAUUUAGCACUUUUUGCAUGUAAAAUAAGGGUUGAAGAAUUAAAAUAGUAUUAUUUUUUUACUUUUCAUUCAAUACACCCAUCGGAGUUGGUCUUAUAAUUCACAUACCCUUUCAAUUUGGAUGGAUUGACUUUUGUCUAUCCAUUUUUUUAUAUAAUUUUUUAAUUUAAUUUAAUUUUUUUAAGUCAAACAACUAGAGGGAUGGUAAUAAAUUAUUCAGCUUUUCUCAUCUUUUUCCUUCCUCUUUUCUCAAAUCAUCUUAAAAAGCUAAAUUAAUAAAAUAACAUUUUGAAUAGUAUAAAUAUAGUUUUUUUUGCCAUAUAUACUCCAAUAAAGAAAAGUCAUUUGAAAGCAAAUUGUAAUGGAGUGAAAGAAAUAAGUGCUUUAUUUUUUCUUCAAGGAGUUUGAUGUCAUUUUUUUUCAAUGUAGCUGCAUUUAAAUGAUUUAUUUCUUUUGUUAGCCCUACUUUGUUGGGUUUAAUUUUUAUUUUUUUUAAGAUAUAAAAGAAUAGUAUUUUAAAAAGAGAAAGUGCAUUUUGACAUUUUAUUUAACACUUUUUUUAAAGCAUGUAAAAUAAGGGUUGAAGAAUGAAAAUAAUAUGUUGAAGAAUUAAAAUAAUAUUAUUUAACACUUUUUUUAAAGCAUGUAAAAUAAGGGUUGAAGAAUUAAAAUAAUAUGUUGAAGAAUUAAAAUAAUAUUAUUUUAAUUCUUCAACCCUUAUUUUACAUGCUUUAAAAAAAGUGUUAAAGGGUUGAAGAAUUAAAAUAAUAUUAUAUUUUUAGUUUCCAUUCAAUACACACCUUGGAGCUGGUCUUGUAAUUCUCAUACCUUUCAAUUUAGAUGGAUUGACUUUUGUCUAUCUAUUUGUUUAAUAUAAUUUUUAAAUUGACUUUUCUCACAUCAUCUUUCUUCUUAUCCAUCCUUCCAGAAAAUCAGACCCUUAAUCGUCCAAUUCUUAUUUUGACUUUUUAAUAAAUAAGAAAUCUCUUUUUAAUUAGAUUUCAAUAAAUCAUUGCAAUCCAAACCUGGAAGUUGACCAAAAAAAAAUUGAAUUUAUUAUUCGAACAUGGUCAAAGUCACAGUACUUGCACAAGUAGCAAGCAUGCAUCGCGAUGGGGACAUUGAAUGGGUUUAAACCAUACGUUUUGGAUCUCCAAAUUCCAUGGAACCCAAUUUGGUGCCGACAAAGACUGUACUUUGUUGAGGUUUGAAAUAAGUUUGAUGGUCAAACUCACAUCAGCCAGUGAGUUAAUUGAUCACGUGGUUACCGUUUAGCGAUGGCCAAGUUUUUUAUUAUUGCUUGAGAAUUUGAAGUCUGUCGGAACAUCUUAUCAGUGGACAUAUAAGACCGUGUCUUGUUUGUAACCAUUCGUUUUAUAAAUAAGCUCUUAACAUUUGAACCGGUGAGCAGCUUCAAUUAGCUAGGGUCUCAAAUUAUUUUAAAUUGAAAAAAGAUAUACUGGUAAUGACGUUAGGGUUUGCAGAUAAAAAAAAAAGGAGAAAAUUGAAGUUCAAAAUGUUGACUCAGCUGGAUAUAAUAAACUUGAUUAAUAUAAUAAUAUGAUUCAAAAAAUAAAAACAAAAAAAAAUUUGAACAAAAAAUAAAAUAACAAUGAUUAAUGGUUAAAAGAUGAAUCGAUGUGAAUCUCAUGGUAACGUGAUCAUACAAUCAAGAUUGAUAUAUGAUCCUGAAAAUCCAAAAUAGAUCUGAUAAAAGUGUGGCACGAUGAAAACUUCUUCUAAGAUACCAAUACUAUUGGAAUGAAAUCGAAUAACACCACAAAACUAAAAAAAUAAAAGAAUCUUUCUCACAAGUUAAAUUGAAGACUUCAAAAGUAUUAUUCAUCAAAGGUUGUCAAAACUUAGGCUUAUAACAGUUUAAGUACUUCUGAAAAAUUAACCACGGUGGAUUUACUUUAGGAGAUGAAUUGACUUGUUUGUACAAUUAACCCAGAACAUAUACUAGUAAACCCAAAUCCUAAUCCAAACAAGCCUUUGAUUUUAGUUAAAAGCAAAGUAUUAAUUAAACCUGAAUAAGUCUUGAGCUAUAGCUGAAAUAAUAAAAAUAAAAUUAACUCAUGCUAAUUCCAUAUUUUGCUAUGAGAAGAGAAGAAGAAAAAUCAAACAAUACAGGUCUGAUAUAAGAUUUAUUUAUAAACUACAAUGUUGUCCAAUGAUCCUAGAAACCGAUAUGUCAUUAAAUAUAACAACUCUUCUUUCUUUUCAUAUCUAAUAUGAAUAAGAAAUCCUCAUAAAAAAAAUUUUUAAGAGCAUUAAUGAAUUAUUGUCACACUUAAAAAUUAUAUUGCAAUCUAUUAAAGAUUCUUGUAUAACUAUAAAAUUUUCAAAAUAACCUGUCACAUCUUUGUAGAAAAAAAAUAUUAUCAAAUAAAAAAUCCACAAGUACAAAAAAAAUGAAUAACAAAACUUGUAAAGCUUGUUCUGACCUAUAUCACAAGUCUUUCCCGAACUCCGAUUCACCUGAAUUUUAACUCCAAUAUAGAAAAAUACCUUUGAAAUCUUAUGAUAAAGUUUGAACACGUUAAAAUUUGAAUCUGACCUUACUGAAUUAUAUCAUGAAUGCUCACCAAUAUUAUAGAAACAUAUCAUUCUAAUGUUCAUAAAAGGUCUCCAUGAUAUUUAUCCUAGUUUUUACUAAGCAUAAUAAAUAAAUCUUAAUUAUUUGCUUACUUAAUGAAUAAGGUAAAUGUUUAAUUAAGAGGUUUGGUUUAUAAAUGUUACUAAGAUGCUUAAUUAUUAUAAUUUUAUAUGGUUAAAUGUUAUACCAAACUUAAUAGUUGGUGUACAUGUUUAGUUGAUGGUGGUUAAACUGAAAAUCUGAAAUUCAAAUUUCACCAAUAAUUAUUUUAUUUAACUACCAUUAACGUUAAUAACUAGUCUUUCAAUGAGUGCAUCGCCCUUUAGCUUUUCCCUUUAAUUAAUUUUAAAUAACAUUAAUUAAAGUUUUUUUUUUUUUUUUACUUUUGUUGUUGAUGAGAGAAUGAGAAUAUUUUAAUUUCACAUGCAGACGAUUGAUCCUUCAGGAAGCGAAAAAAAAAAAACCCAACUACUACCUAGAACUGGGCUCAAGCUCAAUCGAGAGUAUUGGGCAAGUCGAGGUGAUGAUUUCUAAUUUAUAUUGGCAAAACCAGUUCAAAUGGGCUGACAAAACUGUGUAAUUGGCCUGUGAACCACUUUUCUCUCUCUGUUUUUUUUUUUUGAAGUUGAUUUUGUCUAAUUUCUCUUAUUUGUAGACAAUUUACCGGACGUCAUAAAAUCUGAAAUUAUAUAUAAAUCCAUUUCAAGUACCCAGGGGGAAAAGGAAGGGUAAAGCACAGAUGUUUCUUGGUAUUUUGUAUUAAAUAAAGUGACGUGGUGGUUUAUUGAUCGGUAUUGCUAAUUAUUUGUUUAUUUAUUGAAAAAUAUAUUUUUUUUAAAAAUAUUUUUUAUGAAUUCUUGAGAAGUAAUUUUUUUUUUUUUAUAUUUGAUAGUAUCAUAAAGUAUGAAUUGAAAAAUAUUUUCCGGUAUUUGACUAUGUUAUUGGAAAGUGAAUUGAAAAAUAACUUUAAAAUUUUUAAAUUUAUUAAAAAAACAGGGAUCAAUUAUAAUAAAUAAGAAAGUUGAAGUAAGAUAAAACUAAUAAAAUUAAUUUCUUAAAUUAUUUCAUAUAAAAUAAAUAGUAAUAAAAAAAUAGAGACAUGGAUAAAUAAUUUCAAUUAAGAAAAAAGAUAAAUAAAUAAAUAAAUAAUAAAUAACAAUUAAAACAAUAAGAGCCGAAGUUGAUAUAAAAAUCAAACUAGAAGGUAUGAAAUUGAAGAAAAAACAAUUUAAAACAAAAUAUAUAGCAAUUAAAAAAUUGAGAAUUAAAUUUGAUAUAAUCAAUAAAUAACAAGAUAUUUUUAAGUUUUUUUAUAACUUCUAAAAAUUGUUUUCUUUCUAAAAUAAAAUAAAAAUACUUUUUUAGAAAUCAAACUAAAUUUUUCUUUGAUUGAAAUUUUUUUUUAUUAAUUAAUUUUUUAAUAAUAAACAAACAUAUAAAAUUUUAAAAAGAAAAAUUUUAAAAAUUAUUUUUCAUAAAAAAGAAGAAGCUUGAAUUGAUCCCCCAAGAAGGAAAUGAAGAAACAAGGCAACGGAUUUUGGAACUUACUACUUUCAUUGAUGCCCAAAAUGAAUCUUUAAAUAACUUCAAUAAGGGCCCAUAUAUUUCUAACCAAAGAGGAAAGAAGCCUAAUGUUUUGGAAAAAUUGUGUAAUUAACACACAAAAUUAGAAUAGAUAAUAAACUAGAAUGAAUUCUAAAAAGGUACAAGUAGGAUGAGGUUUUAUUUAUUUUUUUUGUUUUAAAAGUGUUUUUUUUUAAAUAUAUUUUUUUUUUUGUUUCAAAUUAAUAUUUAUCUGAUAUUUUAUAUCAUUUUAAUAUAUUGAUAUUAAAAAUAAUUUUUAAAAAUAAAAAAAAUAUUAUUUUAGUAAAUCUUUAAAUAAAAAUUACUUUAUAAACAACACAAUCAUAUACUAAAUAGGCUCUGAAUAUCUUCGCAUCAACUUUCUCAUAAUUAAUAAUUUGUUUUAAUGUAUUAAAGUAGCUAUCGUUCUCGUACAAGGCAAGGGCCAGGGUAUGAUUGUGUCUAUGAGCUCAUCAAGCAGAAAAUCCCAUCAGCAGAAUCUAAAUUGUACAAACAAGUGCGAAAGCAUUUACAAAUGCAGGCAAAUCUAAGCAGGUGGCAUUGAUUUUGCUGUCUUAGAGCAUUCACAAGGCUGGAAAAGUUGUACUUGGAAUUACACGUAGGUGCACAAUCUAGGGACAAUGAUUUCAAGAAUUCGACAAGUACAACGCCACGCUGUAUACUGCUUGAUAUUUUAUUUUUAUUUUAAAUUGUUUUAAUGUAUUAAUAUGAAAACUAUUUUUUUCAAUAAAUAGUCACUCGUAUAAAUAAUUAAUAUAAAAAAUUAGUGGUGGGAUCCACGUGGUGAUGAUGUGUUUUGAAAUUUAUUCUUUUAAAUAUUUCUUAAGAAAUACCAUCACUCUAAUUAAUUAUUAUAUAUUGGCUUUAUUGUUUACGAUUUGAUCAUUAAUUGAAUAAGUUUUAGGUUACAUUUAGUAUGAAUUUUUUAAAUUAAUUUCACUUGUUUUUUUUAAAAAAACUUUUAACUAGUAAAAAUUUAUAAAUACAUUUAGUUAAAAAUACUUUUUUUUUAUUUAAAUAGAAAAUCUAUUAUAGAAUGGAGUUAAAAUUCUGGUUUUAUCAAAAGUUAAGAUUUUUAGCUUUUAAUUUAUAUAUUCUAACUUGUAAUGCAUUUAUUCUUCAAAAAAUAAUUUUUACUAAACAUAUACACUAAUAACUUAAAGUUAUUUUAACGUAUUUUAUUCAAUUAUUUAUGAAAAAUAAUUGAAUCAACAUUUAAGAUAAGAAAUCAUUUUUCACAAGUGAGUGAUAUAACAAAUUUAUAUUCAUUUUAACAGGCACAACUAUUAUUGGUGUCUCCUGAAGCUUUCGAGUUGGGUAGAUGGUUCCAAAGCAUAUAAAUAUUCAUCCUAAAUACAAUUGGAUCACUUUCAUAGUAAAAAGGAAAAGAAACAACUGUUGCUGAAGGUAGGCAAUAUUUUUUUUUAAAUAUGGAAUUCUGGCCAGUUUAUGUGCAUCUCAACUAAUUCUUACGGGUUUUAAAGUUUUAUGACUAGAUAAGUCUCUAAUAAUAAUAAUAAUAAAAGUUCAAGUAAAAACAACGUAUUGAACAACAUACUCUUGUAGUCAUGCAGGAAAAAAUAUAUUCACAGGCAAGGGCGGAGGCAAUGCAAAGGCUUGGGUGGGCUUUAGUCUAGGUCAAGAUUUUAUCAUUAUUUUUUAAUUAGUUUUAUGUAAAAAAUUUCAUAAUUAUCGGUUGAGUUAUUAAAAAAUUUUAAAAUUUACACGGAGCCUUCUAAUAUAAUACUUUAGUUUGGUUUAAAAUUUUAGAUUUUUUAGAGAAAUUCAGAAAUUUGAUAAAUAAAAUCACAAUAUGGCUAGUUUUACGUUAUUGGGUGUAAUUUUCAAUUCGACCAUCAAAUUGAGCUGAAAUUUUACUAGGAAUCUUAAAAUAUAUGAAAUAAAAUCUGGUUAAAAUUUUAGAAUAAACAAAGUUUGGUAGUGCUAACAAAAAAAACUGUCAAAUAAAAGCAAACCGACUCAUUAAAGGUAAAAUGGUUAUUUGCUAUUAAAAAAUAAAACAAAUCAAUUCUUCUUUCUUUUUAUACGUUGUCGACUGGGCAGAAGUAGAAUAUUAAAAGAAAGAAAAAAAAAGGCGAGAUAGUAAGGGAAAAACAUAAAAAAAAAAUCCAAGAAAAAAAAUUAAAAAAAUGAAAGAAUAGCCUUGUAAACUUACAAAGUCCAACUUAUAAAAUACUAACCUAAGGAAGAAUCAAGUGAAGAAGAGGAAUUAAGAGAGGGAAAAAAAUUAAUUACUUUGUUUUUUAGUUGAUAUUAGAUUGUUAUUUUAUCCCGGUUAAAGGGUUGUUACAAUAUCGAUUCAGAUUCGAUUAUAGAUAAAUUAUAUUCAAUAAAAUAUCGAAGGAUGUAACUUUAAUAAUAAAUUUAUUUUUUAAUAUUUUAGGUAGUAUAUUUAAAUUAAAACUUUACCAUUAAUUUUAAAAAUUCAUGUAAAUAAGUUAAUAAUUUAUCUUAAAAAAAAUUAUAUAUUUACUUAACAGUUUAGGAUAAAAAAAAUUCCUGACUCGGUUUUUAUUCUCAGGAUCAGUACGGUCUUGUCCUGGGGCACAGCCGUGAGUCAUGAUGUUCAUAUAUGGUUUUUAUCCCCAGGCAUCGCAUAAGGAGAACGCUACUGCAUACAAGAGUACUCUGUAUGGAUAAAGGAAUGCACUGCGAAGUUUUUGGGCCUCAUGAUUCCAUAUAAUCAAGGACAGAAGUAAAAAAAGAGAACCCUUCAAGCAAAUGACAAUUCUUCGAAAAAGAAAGAAAGAAGCAAUGGACAACACAGUAGCAAGGAAACUGUUGAUCUGGUACAUAUUUAUGAAUAAUCUACUGAUAAUGUGCUCUGAGGAUCCUAGUUGAACCACAAUCACAUUCUUAAUAGAGAGUCAUAAAAUCUAUUUCAAAUGUGCACUCUGGAAAUAAUAGUGUUCUUAUUUUCAAUUGUGGUCUCCUAUAAUUAGUAAGGGAUAGAAAAUUGGAUUCAUAUCCUUCAUGGGAUGAGGGCAAUGUUAUCCCUUCCACCAGCUACACAUCUCCGUGAACAUCAUUCUUCUAGAUGCAUCAUUUGAUUUGUUUUUAUUGCCAUGUGAUGAGCCAGAACCUGAGAAGGUAAACACCAGAGGAGAAAAUGUAAUUUUCUCGUAUGGAUUCUGUCACAGAAAGAUCAUAAACUUUGUCAUGGAAUAAAAUAACAAUAGCACGUAUACAAAUCAUUCAUCUCAUACUCACUGUCUAUAAACAAGUCUAGAUUAGUUGAAAGGUCUUUUAAGGACAGCGUUCUGAUCAUCUGUGACUGUUCUGGCAGGAGAAUGUCCGUAUUGAAGAAGUUUUCGAGAAGUUGAAGUGUACCAAAGAGGGUCUCAGUGACGAUGACGUUCAAAAGCGGCUGGGGUGUUUGGAUACAACAAACUCGAAGAGAAAAAGUUCUAGAGAACUGUUUCGGCUCCAGUUUCUUUUCCUUCGAUUGUAGUUGAUCUUGUUGCUAGUUUCCUCCGCAACUUCAUGUUUUCCAGCUUCCUACGUCAAAAUUCAAUCCCAUUAUUUGCUUUACAGGAAAGUGAAAUACUCAAGUUUUUGGGCUUUAUCUGUGGAAUCCAUUGUCAUGGGUUAUGGAAGCAGCAGCAAUUAUGGCCAUCGCACUUGCACACGGAGGGGUAAGUAUCUUAUGUUGAAAUCCCCAUCUUUGACAUGAUUGCACUGCAAGCAAAACAAGAACUAGUGAUUGAUUAUUGUGAGACAAUCAUUGUGCAGGGUAAAGGUACAGAUUACCAUGAUUUUAUCGGCAUUUUGACGCUGCUUAUUAUCAAUUCAACCAUCAGCUUUAUAGAGGAAAAUAAUGCUGGAAAUGCAGCCGCAGCUCUUAUGGCUCGGCUUGCACCAAAAGCAAAGGUUCGGGAUUUAUUUCUGUUUCUUUUCGAUUUCGUUUUUCUUUUUUGUAUCUAACCUAUUCUCCAACUAUUUCAUCAACUUUUCCUUUCCCUUACCUGUUCAUGUAAUAGGUUUUACGUGAUGGGAAGUGGAGAGAGGAAGAGGCCGCAGAAUUGGUCCCAGGAGACAUUGUUAGGAUCAAAUUAGGUGACAUCAUUCCUGCCGAUGCUCGAUUGCUUGAAGGAGAUCCUUUGAAAAUUGAUCAGGUGCCUUACCAUAUAAAGCAUUGUUUUGGAAGUUGUUGCUUGUACACCGUUCUUUGAAUUUGUAGCAUCAUUUAACAAUGAGAUAGACUGUUGGAAACCCCAGGCCCGGGAAACAUAACACGAACUAGAACUAUGGAAGUUGGAGACUAGCACCUGCAUUAAAGAUAGCAGAUAUAGGAAUCGCGGUGGCAGAUGCAACAGAUGCUGCUCGUAUUGCCUCUGAUAUUGUUCUGACAGAACCUGGACUUAGUGUAAUCAUUAGUGCUGUUUUAACCAGCCGUGCCAUAUUUCAAAGAAUGAAGAAUUAUACCGUAUUUCAAAGAAUUAGGGGAUUAUACAUGACUACAAUCCUUAGUACACGUUGCCUAACAUUCGUUUUGUUUCUUCCAGAUACAUGCAGUAUCAAUCACAAUACGUAUUGUGGUAAGUUUCUCGUUCUCUCUUCUUGGUUCCUGGAAUACUAGUUCCUGAGGAGCUCACCAUAUUUGCAAGAUGUAGCUUUCAUAGGUCACUACUCAUUAGCUACUGGAUACUGUUGUAGCAGAUGGGAUUCAUGUUGCUUGCUGUCUUCUGGAAGUUUGAUUUCCCUCCCUUUGUGGUUCUCAUCAUUGCCGUUCUCAAUGACGGUGAGCAUUUUUGCAAAAUAAAUGCAAUUAGCAAUCAUCUUGACAUGCAAAUUCCCAUAUAACUUUAUUUCAACUUAUUUCCAGGAACAAUUUUGACAAUUCCAAAGACAGAGUUAAGCCAUCCCCAAUACCAGACUGUUGGAAGCUAAGUGAAAUUUUUGCAACAGGGAUAGUGAUUGGCAGCUACCUUGCUGUAAUGACAGUCGUGUUCUUCUGGCUUGCUUUUAAAACCGAUUUCUUUGCGGUAAAUGCAUCUAUUGCUAUCAUGUUUCUAUAAGCAUUGUGUUCUUAAUUUUUCAUUGUAGGGUAAAGAGGGAACCUGGUGUUUUCUUUUUGAGUAAAAAUGCAAAGAGCUAUCAGCUCAACUCAUUUGCAUCAUCUGCUUUUUGACAAUAUCUGCAUUUCCGUUUUGUUGUCGCAGAAGCACUUCCAUGUAAGAAGCUUUAACCAACAUUUGGAUCUUUCGGAUAAAGUUCUCUCCAAGGAACUGAAUGGACAGCUGGCAUCAGCCGUGUACCUUCAAGUUAGCAUCAUCAGCCAGGCUCUAAUAUUUGUGACUCGUUCCAGGAGUUGGUCAUACAAGGAAAGGCCUGGUCUUCUUCUUCUUUCUGCUUUCAUCAUUGCUCAGUUGGUAAAUGCUUCGAAACUUGAAAGUUAUUAAACAAUAUUUCAUUGCCUGAAAGAUUUAUUUUUACUUUCUAGUCCGAAGAGACUACAGUUCUAAACUAACUGCUUAACUGGUACAGAUUGCAACUGCGAUCUCUGCCACAGCAACAUGGGAUUUUGCUGGAAUCAGUAAGAUUGGCUGGCGCUGGACUGCUGUCAUAUGGCUAUACAACAUUCUCACAUACAAGCUGCUUGAUCCUAUAAAGUUCGCUGUUCGAUAUGCACAGAGUGAUGAAAUGUACAUUAAUGUAAUUGAAAAAUAAAAAAAAUAAUGCGUGUCUUUCUAGGUUAUUUUAUCGCCAGAGUAAUUUCAACCAUCAUUUUAAUUAAAUAUAUCAAACAAGACUUCAACUAUAAUUUUAAUUGAAUAUAUAUUUUAAUCAAAUCAAACACAAUUAAAAAUAAUUUUUUAUAUAUAUUUUUUUAUAUCACAAUUCUAAAAAUUAUUAUAAUAUCAGCAUUAAUUUCAACCAUCAUUUUAAUUAAAUAUAUUGAACAUGAUUUUAACUAUAAUUUUAAUUGAAUAUAUAUUUUAAUUCAAUCAAACACAAUUAAAAAUAAUUUUUGUAUAUAUAUUUUUUUAUAUCACAAUCCUAAAAUUUAUCAUGAUAUCAAACAGGAAAGAGGCUGAUGGUUGUUGAGGGUAUGCGCCGCGUGAAAGAGAGUGAAGAGGGUGGUGCUGUGAUUUUGGUGGCAUAGAGUGGUACGAGAGAGAUAAGGCGGGAAGUGAUGUUUCUAUUAUGACAUGAUAUAUUAAUAAAUAAAAUUAUAGUGUAAUUAAUAAAAUGCUAUUAGUUAAACCUGAGUAUCAUAAGAAAAAAAAAUUAUAUUCUAAUUCCGGUUACUUGGAGUAGUAAAAGGAGCAGCAUUGAAAAAUUAAAAAAAAGAAAUUAUGUUUGGAUUAUUAUUAUUAUUAUUAUUAUUAUUAUUAUUAUUUAGCAGCAUGAUAUUAUUAUUAUUAUUAUUUUAUUAAUGGGGAUAUCUGAAUCAGCUUAUGUAUACUUCGACUAAUUUUAUAGGUCUUAAAAUUAAAAAUUAUAUAAAUUUUUAAUAACUAUCUUAUUAUUAAUUAUAAAACUUAAACUUGAAACAAAAAGAAACCUCUCUUGAUUCAAAAUUUUUAAUAUUAGUAACGUGCUAGAUAAUUUAUUAUUAUUAUUAUUAUUAUUAUUAUUAUUUGAUAAGGAGUAGCAUGAUUCUUGAUAACGUUCAAAUUCUUGAUACGGUAAGAAAUCACAUGGGCCUCGUAAGGAAGAGAGUACAUACAUGGUUUUAAUUAUAUGCGGGUGUGGUAAUCGGUACACAGCAUCUCUCGUAGUGCAUUGCUGGCCACGUAUUUCCCAAUCACGCGUUCAUGCCUGGAGUAUGUUUCACGCACCAAAAAUUAGGAAAAAAGAAGAGGAUUUUUUAUGAUUUCUUUCACCUCUGUCGGUCCAACAUGACAGCUUAUAUAAUUCAUAAUUGAUUAGUGGGAGUGUUUAUAUAAUUCAGUAAUAUUGAGUUGCAAAGUUACUAUCACUAAAAAAAAUUUACCUAUCUGCAAUUACCUAUGAAAAAAAGAGGAAAAAAAGAAAAUAUGAGAAAAAAAUGGAAAUAAAACGGGAAAAAAGGUUUAGGAAGUGAUUUCUACGCAUAAAUAAAUAUUAUCUGAAACAUCUCACUUUGUAGUUUAACAUUCCUACAAUCUCGACUCUAAUUCUCUUUCACCAUUCAUGUCAAUUUGUUUGAUCUCACCAUUGAAAAAACUAUUCUAAAUUAAAAAAAAUAUAUAUAAAAUGAUUUUGAAUACUUUUGACUCUUAAACAACUUUAAUAACCAUCCAAAGCCACUAUUUUCUUGAUUUUAUUUCACUUUGUUUAAGGACCGACUUAUAUUAAUCUUAUAAUUGAUAUUUGAUAUAUAUGUAUGUGUGUGUAUAGUUAAUUUCUUUCUAGAGAUAAUAAAGGGUAAAUAUAAAUUUUUUAUAAAUAUCACGAUGUUGAAAUAAGAAUAUUUAAAUGACGUUAUUUAAAAAAAAACUGAAAAUCCAUGAAUUGUUGCUCCUAAUUAAAUAUCAUUAGGGUUGCAUGUCUCCAUCUUCAGCCACUUUGACGGUAAAUCACCACAAACAAAUUCAGACAAAUGGUAUCUACAUGUCUUCCUAGAAGGAAUAUGCUUUAACAUCCAUGCCCUCAUGUAAAACAACAUCAUGUCACCCUUCACAUUCCUGAAAGGCGCGUUUGACAAAAAUCUCAUUUUUAAACACACUCCAUCCUCUUCCAUGACUUGCUGGUUUAAUCUCACUUGAUAUCUUCAUUUUACACCACAUGUUGAGCAACAUUUCCACUAUACUUUAAUCUUGGCUUUUUGCACCAUAUAUAGUCUCAAGAGGAGCACACGUUUUUGUCACUUCAUGAAGUUUCCCUGCAGUAUUUUGAUUUGUUUGAAUAUGCUAUUUCUUUGUCAUGAAUCGAACUUGGCCAUGCAAACUAUUGCCGACUCCGAAUGACGAAGAACCCAAUAACAUUUUCUUGUUAAGAUAAUUUUUUUUUUAUAACCCCCCUCCCUCCCUCUCUCUAUAUAUAUAUGAUUGCUUUCGAUUUGUAGGGUUGUGGUUAGUUGGGAUUUGAGUUACAUUUUCAUCAAUGGAGUUGAAGUUUCUUGAUUCCAAAUCAUCAUCUUUAUCUGAGAAAGCAGCCCUCGUGGCAAGGACAAAAUCAAGUCCGUUUUCCAGUUUCGAACAUUCAGUUGGUGUUAAAUUUUCUCAAGAGUUCAGUUCUUGCAGAGGUAAGUGGGACUGGUGAUGAAUCAUUGUAUUAGCACCACAAGUCGCUGCGGUUUUGUUAUAUUCCUUGUUUUUGUCUGUGUUGCUCAAUGUUCUUGGCAUCCAAGCAGGGCAUUUACACAUUUCGAUUUGAAGGGUUUGUUUUUGUUUCUGUAUCAGACAUUUUGAGACACAGUUCAUGCUCUGAGCCAUUCUUUUUUCCUUCUGAAGUUAUAUGUGUUUUGCCGAGGUUGUUCUGCUGUUUGCUAAUUAGUCUUUAAACAGAGACAAAGUGCUAGUAAAUUAUUAUAAACGGACAACCAUGUCUCAUCUCAUUAGGUUAUAGCAUAUACUGAUUUCCUGCUCCUGCUUCCCAGUUUGGCAUAGUUGGUGAUUCGACAUUUCAUUAACAGAGAGACAUUUUUUUUUCGCAUUAAAAGAUGAGCUAAUUAUGAGUGUUUUGCUUCCAUGGCUUCUUAUGUUCAGGAGGAUUUACGAAGGCAUCUUAUUUGAGUUCAAAUGGUACAUUUAUGCCAAAGAGGGCUAUUAGCUCAGUUGACAAAGAAAAAACCGCAGCAGAGAAUUACUUUUAUCAGAUUAGCACAAAUGGUGCUGGUUCAACUCUGUUUUCCAGAAAUGUCGGAGUGCUUGACGCCUGCGAUGAUGAGUACGGGGGAGUUGUGGUUGAUCCGGAUAGAUUACCGGUUAAUCCAGAUGCCUUUGCUCCACUGCUCCAAUUUUCCCUUUCACACUGGAAAAUGAAGGUAAAUUUCUGCCAAUGCUUGAACAACUCCUGUGUGGCUUAAAUUGUUUCUUGGAUAUCCUAUGUUGGUCACCAAAUUGACUUCUACUAUGUCAAUUUACUGCAGGGAAAGAAGGGAAUUUGGCUCAAGCUGCCCCUGGAACGAUCAGAGCUUGUUCCAGUUGCUGUGAAGGUAACCUGUGCUCAAACUUAAACAUUACUGAAUUGUUUCAUUUCAUUGGCUUGAAGCAUCUGCAAUUUAUACCAGUUCAUUAAAUGACUCAAGAAAAUGAUGAAGAAUGUUUGGCUCCUUCAAUCUUUUCACGAGACAUGCAAUCUGAGUGGAUGAGUAAAUUGAUUAACAGGAAGGUUUUGAGUACCACCACGCAGAACGAGGAUACGUGAUGCUGACUUACUGGAUUCCCGAAGGACAUUGUAUGCUUCCUUCUAAUGCUACGCAUCAAGUAGGUGUUGGGGGAUUUGUGAUCAAUGACAAAAAUGAGGUAUGAUUAUUGAGGAAAAGAAAAGUUUCUAAGCUGUCCCAAUGAACUAGUUUUGACAAAUUUAGAUCACCAGUCCUUCAGGACUACAAUGGUCUCAAUUUUUUUUAAAAGAUCUUUGGCAAUCAAUUGCAGGUUCUUGUAGUACAGGAGAAAUUCUAUGCUCCAUCAUUUGCCGAUGUUUGGAAAAUACCGACUGGUUUUAUUCUCGAGGUACGUAAUUUUAUCUUGAACCAAGGAAUCAGCUAUUUAUGAAAAACUUUUAAAUCUCAAUUGCUAUAUAUUGUUUCAGUCAGAAGAGAUUUACACAGGAGCUGUAAGGGAAGUCAAGGAGGAAACUGGUGUAAGAAUGUUCAAUCUCGUACUUGAUUUAUUUACACUAAAAUUUCUUUUCCAGGACCAUUGAUAGUUACCAACUUACAUCAGCAUAAUAAAUUAACAUUGAACGAUCAAGUCGUCCCAAUAAUGUCAGCUGAGUUUUUGUUUAUUUUGCAGGUCGAUACUGAGUUUGUGGAAGUCAUAGCUUUCAGGUGAAGAACUUUUGACUUUGGCUUCACUUGUUUCCUCUCAUAGCAAUACUCAUGCACUGAACAGUUCUGGAAAUGUGCAAUCGAUCCUUUUUUGGCUGUGCAAAGAAAAGAAAUGAAUGGAUGAUUUGUAAUGGAAGCAUCAUAGGUUCAUAUUCAUGUAUAUCUAGCUACAAAGAUGCUAUGGCUGAUGAAAUCUUCUAGAUACACAAGUAUCGGACAGGACACACACACAUGUAUGGCUUUCCCAACACUCUGUCUAAUGUAGCCUUCAACACUGGUUUCAGGCAUGCUCACAAUUUGGAUUUUGACAAGUCAGAUCUGUUCUUUGUAUGUCUGCUGAAACCCUUGUCAGCUCAGAUUAAGGUUGAUGAUCUUGAAAUCCAAGCAGCAAAAGUAAGUACCUCUCCUUACUGAUGUGUGUAAGUUAAUAAUUGUGAAAAUUUUUGGAAACGAAUUCAUCUGUCUGAUCAAAGAUAUAAUUGGAUGCACAGAAGCUAUGGCUUAUUUGUCUCAUGCAUCACCAAUAUUCUGUCUGGCCUGAAGGUGAUUCAUUAUAAUCACAAUGAUCACACAGUGCUAGCUUGUUCUUUUAGCCGGCCAUAUGACCAUUAGACUACUCUCAUAGCUAGCCACUGCCCCCCUGUUAUGUGGGGAUUUCGUGUUUUUUUUAAAAUUAUUAUUAAUGUUUAAAAAAACCAUAUUUUUUAAUUUUAAAUUUAUUAUUCUAUGUUUUUGUGGCUCUUUAUUUAUGAUAUUUUUUUUUGUAAGAUUUUAUUGUAUAGAUAAUAUAUAUAAAAAGCAGCCAUCUCAUUCCAAUAUUUCAAUAAGAUUACAUCUUGGGAUCAACGAAGAGAACUGGAAAUAGAAGCUGAGCCAGUUUCUCCAUGGAUUUACAAUAAUGGAUUUUACUUGCAAAUUCAUUGACACCGACUAUAGUCUCUAAAUCUCCUUAACUUUCUUGUGUUUUCAUCCUGCAGUGGAUGCCCCUUGUUGAGUUUGUUGCGCAGCCACUAAUCCAAGAAGACGGACUGUUCAAGAAAAUCAUUGAUAUUUGCAUUGCUCGUUUAGGGAAACAUUACUGUGGAUUAUUACCUCGUCAAGUAGUUUCCAAAUUUGAUGACAGGCCAUCCUGCCUAUACUACAAUGUUCUUGACACUGGAAAUGUCAACUGCAACGGCAAUUGAACCAUCCAAACACCAUUUCACAAUUCUUAACAUCCCUUGCCUGUCUUCUCCUGGAAAGCCUCUGGCAUUUCCGCUUUGAAGCACGCAACGGUAGCAACUGCAGUGGAAGCAUACGAGGCUCGCAAGUUAAAGAGUAGGGCACUCAUGGAGUCUUACGUUUAUUAUACCUGAUGGGUUGUAACAUAUAGCUUCAAGUAUCUUUGACUGUAAAUAUAUGUUCUUCUGGUAGAACGUUGUUGUUGUAAAUGUGUGAAGUCACCAGUUCUUCUGUUACUAAUGGAUUUUCACUUAUAAUUUCUCUUAGCAAGUAGCUAAUCUGCCUUGUUAUGGCAUUAAAUUUACUAGCUGCGUUUGUACUCGUUGUGAUUUCCCUGCUAAACCAAUGGAGCAUCAUUUUUGUGUCCUAUCUAAAAGGAAGAAAUUAAAAAAAAAAUCCAAAAAAAACUUAAUUAUAUUUUUUUCACUAAGAAAGAAAGAAAGAAGCCCUAUCUCCGCGGUUCAUUUGAACCAGCUCUUCCUGACAAGAAACAAACAGUAGAGAUUAAAUGUGGGUUUGGUGAGAAAUGGACAAAAUAUUAGAAUCCAAAUUGCAGCCACCAUUUCCCACUCCAAGGGGCAAAGUUAGGCAAUGCCAUGAGUGAUGCCUGACAAUGAUAUGCUCGUGCCAAACAAGGCAUGGCCCCAGAGCCAUAAGAGGGCUCACAGUUUUCAUUCUCUAAUCAUUCCAUUUUCUAGCAUGGUUCCUUCCUUUUUAUGCUGUUUUACUCACUCGGUUAUAAUACCGAAAUAAAUUAAUAAAUAAAAACAAAUAAAUUCAACUCUAGUUAAUCUGUUAAAUUCUCGAUUCUAUUCAUGUGAUUAAGAUAACUCAUAAAGAGUAAAUUAAAACAAAUUAUAAAGUUUAAUUUCCAAUCAACCAUACCAGAUUCAUUAUUGAACGAUGAAAUCUAUAAAAAUUGAAAUUAUGAAAAUGACACAAAAAAAUUAGCCAAUUCAACAGGUUAACCCGUUAAACAGUAUUAUCAGGUUAUAAGACUGUAAUAACUUAAUAAAAAAAUCAAAAUAAAUCAUGAAAUCUAAUUCUUAAUCAAACAUAAUAUUAAUUGAUGAAAUUGAAAAAAGAAAUCAAUUACAAAAAGAUCAAGUCGAUUAGGUUAACCUGUUAAACCCGUAACCCGGGUAAUGAGAUAAGAACAACUCAAUAAAAAACAAAUACAGAGUUGAAGGACCCGAGGACCUGGUUAUUAAACCUAGAUAACCUUUUACAAAGAAAAUUAAAAAAAAAACCUGAUUUAACCAAUGUUAAAAUGCCAAAACCCGUGAAUCUGAUCAUGAGACCAAUAUAUCCCCAUAGAAAUUAAAUCAAAAUAGAUUAUGGAGCUCAAUUCCUAACUGAUCCAAUAUUGAAUGAUAAAAUUAAAAAAAAAUACAAAAAACAACCUGGAUCAGUGCAGACUAACCAUUUAAGAACCAUUUAUGAUCAUAAGGUCAGAAUAAUCUAAUAGAAAGCAAAUAAAACAAAUCAUAAAUCAUAAUUCUCUUUCAAUUUAAUAUUAAAGGAUGAAUUAAAAAAAAUUAAUUUAAAAAAAAAACUUAAAUCAACCAAAUUAACCCGUAAUUCUUAUAAUAAAAAUAAAAUAACAGAGUAAAAAACAAAUAUAGUACACAAAUAUAAAAUAAAUAAAAAACAAAAAAUAUUAUGAGAUAUACAAUUAAAAAAAACCCCUUUUUUUGUUAAUAAUUGUUAAUGAUUGAAUUAAUUAAUGCCGUGAAGUCAAUAAUGACAAACAUGUUUGGCAUGUAGCUAGAAGAAUUUUGAGAUCAAUUUAAGUGGCGGUAUUGAAUUGUUGGUUUGGAAGGUAGAAAGACAAGACCUAUUUUUAACUUUUUUUACCUGUCCUUGGGUCUGUCGUUUGGGUCCCUGUGAAACUGAUCAGGCAUCCCUUUUGGCCUGUGUGAUCAUAUACAGAGUUAAGGAAUGUUUUUGGUUUUUUUUAAAUGAAGGUAGGAGACACUGCUAAUCAUAAUUAAUUAAUCAAUUAAAUAAUAAUAAUAAUAAUAGUUAACUAACUAUAAUUAAAUAGAAGCUCUAAUCAUUCAGGCCAACUCCUUUUCUUUCCUCCCUGGAAAAACAAGAACAGCGGAAAGCGAUUCAACCCCCUCCCUCCCACUUUCCGAUCCGAGAGACUCAUUUCCCAAAAUAAUAAUCUCUCGUAAGCUCUCUGUUUCUGCCUGCCUGCGCUUUUAAAUAUAUAUGAACACUGCCGUCUCUUUCUUUCUUCCCCUCCUUCUGUUACAAUUGAAUUCUUUUCUAAUAGUUUUUUUGUAGUUUCAAUUUUUGCUAGGGUUUGGUCGCUUCUAUUACUUGCACAUAACUCUCUCUUUAUAUCCUCUGUUUGGUUGGUUGCCGAGAAAAUGCAAGAAAGAGUUAAAAACUAAGCACUCCAAAUUUUCACAGCAACCAAACAGCUUGAUUAACCUUUUUUUCUCUCGCUUCAAUUUCUUGUAAUAUUUGUGUUAUUCUGUUUUUUUAGGACUCUGUUGAAUUGCUUUAGAGGAUGGUGAGUUUGUGAUAGAGAAAAUCUGGACUGUAAAUUGAAGAAUCGUGGAUUGCAAACAAUGCGGUUGUUUCCUUUGAGUUCAAGCUCAAGCUCAAGCUCGGAGAAGGAGCAGAGUAAUGGAGGGAGCAGUCGCGUGAAUUUGUAUCUUAACAUCUAUGAUCUUACACCUAUAAAUAACUACCUUUAUUGGUUUGGCCUCGGGAUCUUCCAUUCCGGUAUUGAAGGUAAUUAAUUGAAUGUUAAUAGAUGAUAGACUUUUUUUUUUUCUUUCUUGCUGCUUAAUCUGCAUGAUUUUGGCAUUUCUAGUUGAAUUUUGCUUGGUGCGAGUAUUCUAGGUUGUGGACUUUUGGCUUGAUAGUUGUGCAUUAAUAGAAACUCCAAAUGAUAAUCAUUGUUCAACCUGCGUGGAUUAUGUUAGGGUAAAAAUUCUAUUUCUGGAGACUUUUUAAGGUAGACUGAAGUUCAUGAUGAGGGAAUCACGAGUCAGAAGAGUUUGGCAUUUUUAAAGGAUUAAGACUAGAAGGUUUGCGUUUGCAAUAGGGCAGAUCACCGAAGAAUGAAGUAUUCCUGCACAUAAGAGUCAUUGAUAUCUCGAGACAUGAACAAAUGCAUCACUAUGAUGCAUUGUCGCAUUUAUCACCAUCAAACCUUUUUUUCCCCCGACCAAUAUGAAUUGGAUAUGGAUCAUAGAGAUGCAAUAUGCAGUAACACAGUGGCUAAGAUGGCAUCUACUUCUCAAAGUAAUCAACGGAAUCUCUUGUUUAUUUAAUUCAAAAGAGUCAUUGCUUAACAAUAAUGUAAAGUAUCUAUCUUUACAGAUGCAGAUUGAAUAAUUCCCGUAUCAUUGGUAGGAUAAAUUCAGUAUCCAAAAUUUCUUAUAAUCACCCUGCACAUGUGACACAACUCAUUUCUUCACUAAAUUAAAUCUAGAAGGAGCAAGGAGCAGAUUUAUGCUAGUUUAUUUCCUUCCACGGUCCACAAGUUCACAAACUGUUAGUGGUAGUUCCAAAUUGGCAGAAACUAUGAGCAGGAAGGAUGAACUACUCUUUCUGGACUUGAUGCUGAUACCAUGUAUAUGUGGAAAUAAGCUAACUUUUAGAAACAAGAUUAUUAAGAAGAUUGUGCUAAGCAACAUUUCCCACUGUAAGGGAAUUAUGAUGGUGCCACUCAUGAGACAUCCUUAAGUUUUUAUUUGAAAACUAGUUUUCCCACAAUAACUGUAAGGAGGGAGGGGGGAGGCAAAUGCACCAGAAGGAAGGAAGGAAGAUGGAGAUGAUAAGAAGCAGAAUUUUAUGAUACGCUGGCCCACUCGGAAGCUUUUCCAAGGCCCAAGAGCUGUUCUCACAAACAGAAAAAUAAACACAGCUUCCUUUCUCACAGAAGAUUGAUUUCACUCCCAGAGGACUAUAGAAACACACAAGCACCUUAAAUAAUUGCCUUGGAAAAUCCAUAUUGUGCGAGACAGUGAAACCAUAGUGCAUCGUGGAUUGUGCAUGAGAAAGAAAAUGCUGAUUGUGAAAGAUUUCCCUUGCUUAGAUAAUUUUCCUUCAACUUUUAAAUGUAAUGUAGAAAAGAAAGUUUGAUUCAUCUAUAUUAGAUCUUGUAAAAUUUAGAAAAAUGUUAUCCAAAUGCUCAAAUCUCUUGUAGCAAAUAAUUUUCUUAACAUUUAUAUUUUCAUGAACUCUGAUGAGAUUAUUGCAGCUUUGAAGAAAAUGGUUGUUGCAUUAAGUUGCAAGGAAACCAACUUGUGAUGUGCUUCAUAAUUUCAUUAUGCAUAAGCAACUCCCCUGUAUUUACGCAUCCCCCUGCCACUAUUUAUAUUUGAACUAAAAAUGUUUGCCCACUCAUUUUUCUCCGUUACUCUUUUUUAUCCCGUAAAGUUAAUUGGUGUGUUAAAUACAAAAGCUAGAAACAUUGGUGAUGUGAUUUCAUGAAGAAGGUAACCACUGCUGCCAAAAGAAAUAAUUGAACCCAGAAUCAUGAAAUUCAGUCCAUCAUGGGCUGUUCAUUUAAAUGCAAAAAUGAAAAUAAUGGAGCAAACUCAUGGGGCAAAUUGCUUGCCAAAAUCAAAGGUGCAUAGGUGGUUUUAUAUAGCCUUCCCUUGUAAAAAGAUUUAUCUCUAACCAAUUCAGAAAGAAAGUGGUAUUUUUUCUUUGAGCAACAAUUCUAUAAAAUUUUAUAUCAUCAAAAUUAGCAUCAAUUUCAAAUAUUUGUGGUUAAUAUUGGAGGUCACCAUUUCACUGAAAUGGGAUUCUUAUUUCUAUUGUGAAAGCAGGCUGACGUAACAAAAGCAGACAUAUGGUUAGAAAAAAGCCAAAACACUAUUCAUUCUACACCACCUUUAACUGAACAUUAAACAUUUAAAACAAAGUUUGUAGCUUAGGAUGUUCAGAUCUAGUGCAUUUCAUCUCCUAUCAGGAACAAACUUAUCUCACAGCAGCUGUUAAAUGUGGACUGCUUGGAUUAUGAAUUGCAAUAUCAGUAACUCGAUGCUCUUUUACUUAUUUGAUCGUCUAAGGAUUUUUUAGGAGAACUAUAAGUGCCUGAGGAGAAGUUGGUACUUUAUUUACCUGAAAGAAACCCUUGAAAAUGGUAAUACAUGAGACAUCUUGAGGAAGGCUUAGCAGAAGCUACUUAAAGGUGGCUUGAAAUUAUGCUUUAUGGUCUGAAUUUCUCCAUGUAUUAGGAUGAUUUACCUAACAUAGUGCUGCUGGAGAUAAGAUAAAACAUUUGCAAUAUUGAAACAUAUUUCUUAUCUGGUAUGUUUGCCUUUUUGUGGGUGAGUUUUAACAUCAUUUCGAAUUCACAUGAUAGAGGAUCGCUGACUGGAUUGGAUAGAAGCUAACUAUAUGUGAGAUUAGUGAAGCUUUAGCUGUACAUUGCAUGUAUGGACCCAAUUCUCCUCUUGUCAAACUCGUUCCCAACAGCCUUCUUUCUUCUGCAUUCCCUUUUGUAUUCAUGCUGUAUUCUUAAAACAAAUUACGAACUAAGUUUGAAGGUCAAGGGAACUUGGUGUUCCAAUUUGGAGGGUUCAUAGUACAGCAGUAUCAAUGGAUUGUUAUUAGGAGUAAUCAGAUUGUUAGAACCUAGAGAUGUAAUCAUAUCACUUGAGUAAAAUGUGCUUGUAAAAGGUUUUGUGCUAUGCUGUGGUCUUUAUUUUCUAUGGGCUAUCUAGAAUAUCAAAUGAUCUAUUUCUUCUUGUGUGGAAUUAACAUUGUUUUUAUUAACAUAGUACACUUGAGAUGUAAACGACACAUUAACAUGAGAAUUGAAAAAGGGAUAAGAAAUUGAGAAUCAUAUUUUGAGUUGUCCAGAGAAAUAGCUGGAAUUCUCCCAUUGUAAGAUGCCUCAACCAUUCAAUGACAAGUAACUCCUGAUUGAAGCUUUUCCAGCUGGAGUUAAAAGGAAAUUACUCCUGGAAUUAGGAUAGUUUCCUCUAGAUGUUCAUUAGUGAGAUCCUAAGAUAUGAAUUUCUUUUUGCAAGAUAUUGGAAACUCGCCUUUUCCUUGAAUGACUUAUUUAGGAUGUGAUAAUUCAAGGUUACUAUCGUCAACAUCAUUGGUGUUGUGCUGUGCUUAGUUACUAACUUGGUGCAGGAUUGGGACAGAUUGCCUAAUAGCUGACAUCAGUUACGUAGGGAACCAAGUGAUUACCAGGCAGGGCUAUGUGAAAACCACUCAAGCUCUGUUAACUUAGAAUUAUCAUGAUUGCAAGAUCCCUCAAGUUUGAGUUUGCUACUUCAUCUACAAGCAUGAUAAUGUCCUUAUAAUGCGCUGUUAUGGUUGCUUUUAAGGCAGUGCCAUCAGAUCUCAGCUUAUCACAUCUCAUCAUAUUUGAUUAGCGUGGUUAUUUUUUCCAGAUGCAAGCUGCAAGACACCUUUAAACCUUAUAGGUGUCUUGUGCUUGCUUCUCUUGUGUUUCUUACAUUAUCAGCAUUAGGCAGAUAUCUAAUCUGGACUAUCGACUGUGGCUAUUUGUAGCUAGUUAUAUGCAAGUCGUCAGACAGGAAAGAUCACUAUCAUUUUUUGUUAUUGAGGAAAAAGAUAUUUUAGGAAGUCUAGGUACAAACAGCUGUGCUCUCAAACCCCUAAAACAACAACAAAUUGUUUUAAUUUGUAUCUGGCUAAAAAUAACUAUAACAGCUGUGGUGAUUGAUAAUCCAUAAUAGCACUUCAAAUUGACCUGAAUUUUAGUUUAUACUAAAUCCAUGUUCUCUAACCAUCACAAUGUUCCAAUUUCAAUGAUUGUUUUACUCUAAAAUCAGGUCUGUGUGAAUAAUAAAUCAACCUGUCAUUUUCUUCAGCGUCUCUAUCUUGGAAAUUUAUGUGCAUUAACCUGUUGCAACUGAUCUUUUAAUCAGUGCAUGGUAUGGAGUAUGGCUUCGGAGCCCAUGAGUACCCAACCAGUGGGGUGUUUGAGGUGGAGCCAAGAAGUUGUCCAGGCUUCAUUUUUCGACGGUCUGUGUUAUUGGGCAGCACCAACAUGUCUCGUUCAGAAUUCCGGUCAUUCAUGGAACGUCUUUCUGCAGAAUAUCAUGGAGACACCUACCAUUUGAUUGCCAAGAAUUGCAACCACUUUACUGAUGAAGUCUGUAAGAGAUUAACUGGAAAGCCUAUUCCUGGAUGGAUAAAUCGAAUGGCUCGAUUAGGUUAGUCGCAUAUCAUGUUAUAUGAGAAGCUACUUUCUAUUUCACUGGAGAUUUUCUAGGCCUAGUACUCUGCACACAAAAGUGAUAACUUAUUUUCAAAAAAAAAAAAAAAAAGAUGAAAAAAGUGUGCAAUUUUAAAUGCGACUCUUUGUUGGAAUAUCUGUCAGACCUGGAUCCAGAAUUUGUGGCCAAUGUUUGUGCGUUAUCAAUAACUGUGAAUAACCAGCAUUGCUUUGUAUUUUUGUAAAUAAUAUGAGUUAUAUGGUGGUUUCCAAUGUCGGCAGCAGCCUUGCUGCUAAGUUUCUCAGCUCUGUGUUUUUGGAUUUUGUGGUCCAGUUCUAAUAUUUCCCUGUCUGAUCGAGGAGCUUUUAUUUGAUGUUUCAGGUUCUUUCUGUAAUUGCUUACUGCCAGAAAGCAUACAGAUCACAGCAGUUAGACAUCUUCCUGAUCAUCCAACGUAUUCUGGUAAUUUUCUUCUAUUAAUCAUGUUUCUUCCCUUUGUUAGUUCAAGAUCUGCACGAGAAUUUAUCUUACUGGGUGUCCAAGUUGAUGAAGGCAUUAUUUAAAGUUGUAUUCCUCAACAAAGCGAAUUGACUGUGUAUUCUUGAUCACUUCUUUUUCUGGUAGAACUGGGAUCAAAACCCAAGAAAAAACCUAACAGUUAGAUGUGACAUAGAGGUAGAGCCACCCCAGUAACAUCCUGGUAAAAUAAAUCAGAAAGACCCCAGGAGCAUUUCUUUGCUGAUAAUGGAUCAUAAUAAGAAUGGGCACCAUGCUUGAACAAAGAAAAUAGGUGGUUUAACUGCCAGCAGGCUGCAGAUUGCUCUAGCCAUCUCACUAGUUGUGACUUUUUUUCUUAACUGAUGAAUCAUGGAUAUUAGGAAUUUUACCGUGCAUGGCUCUCUUAAUUAUUCUACCUGAAGAGGCGGCCUUUAAUGUAUAGAACAGCGUGUAUAUAGGUAUUAGGUUGGGAAUCCAUUUUCAUUCAAUUGAUGGAGCUCUAAGAUUUCCCAUCAAUGAAUGCUCUGAUUGUUAAGAAGGGGUAUUGCUCUUCUACGUCGGUGUGUGCUGCAUGCAGAGUCCAGAGGGGACGUCUGCAUGUGGUUGUUUGGUGCUUUGAUGGAUACAUGUUUUCUUACCUUGGUCCCAAUGCGAAUGCAGAUGAUGAUGAUGAUGGGUUGGAAUCUGUUGCGUCAUCCACGACAGCAGGGAGUGAAGAAGAGGGUUCAAAUCAUCAUCUGCUCACUGCACCAAAUGGUGAAGUUGCAUUUUUAAAGGAGAAACCAGUGAGGCUAGCAAAGGAACUCCUACAGGGUUUGUCCUGAAAUUCCUAUUCUUUCUAUCUUGGAUCUUUCUAUUGUUUGUACUUUAGUGUAUGAUCUUGGUAGACCGGAGAAUGUGUCUUGGCUGAAUUAUCUGAGUACUUUAGUGUAUGAUCUUGGUAGACCGGAGAAUGUGUCUUGGCUAAAUUAUCUGAGUACUUUAGUGUAUGAUCUUGGUAGACCGGAGAAUGUGUCUUGGCUGAAUUAUCUGAGUACUUUAGUGUAUGUGUCCUGGCAUGUGGCGAUCUUGCUUCAGACUUCUCUAGUGCCUGUGAUUAUUCUAAAGGUAUGGCUAUUCCUCAGCAUCUUGUACCAAUACAACUUAUGCACUAUCAUAGUAUACAACCCCCAAUGGGCUGCUGAUAUAUGAUUUCAGUUUCCAAAGAAGCUCGCAUUGGUUGUUCAUAAAUUGUGACUGUUGGAUUCCCCAAUGGUUUUUUUAUUUUUGCUCUGGCAAGUUUUAAGUUGGAACUGACAUGAAAUAUGAUGCAAGUGAAAAUGUCAUGUUCGGCUGAUAUAAUAGAAUGUAAAUCUAACGAGAGAUUCGAUGAACCAUUCUAUUACUUUGUAUUUCGAAAUUUAUUUGUUUUUUUUAUUUUUAUUAUUAUUAUUAUCAGAAUUGUUUAGUUUAUACUAGUUCACAUGCUAACUCAACAUUGCGGGUCCAAGUUUUAAAAAACAUAACACAAAUUAUUUAUUCAAUAGACAACUAUUUCAUAUUUUUAUUAAACCUAGCUUAAUGGGUUAAUAUUGAGAUCAUUCAAUCUAACUUUUGUUUAGUUCGAGUUUAAAAUUCAAUUGUAAGGAAAUUAAUUCGAUAUUAUUCAAUUAACUUGGCUAGUUCAGAAAUAACUUAAUUGAUCAAUAAAAAAAAAUAUAAAGAUGAAAUUAAGAAAAAAUAAUGAAAUAAACAGAAAAAAUCUGUUGAUGAACUUUUUGCCAAGCUUUAUUUAUAAUUAAACUAAGUUUUUUUUAUAUGACUUGGUUAAUUUGAUCAAUUAAAAAAUAACUUGGUUGGUUGGUAAAAAAAAUUAUGACUAUAAGAUUGAGAAUACAAAUAAUAAAAUUGAAAGAAUUUUUUUUUUCAAUGUAAUAUUUUAUCUAGUUUAAGUUUAAAAUUAAAUUAAUUGAGAAUUUUCUUGUUAUGAUUUAGUUGAUUAUGUUGGUUUAAAGUUAUACUAUAUCAUUGUCUAUAGUAUAAUACGGGUCAAAUUAAUUAUUUUUUAAUAUAAAAAAUAUUUAAAUAUUAUUAUUGUGUUUUUAUAAUAGAAUUUUUUGAUCUAUAUAAAAAUUAAUGUAAUAUAAUCUAAUCAAGUUUGCAUAACAUGAAUUUCAUGUCAGUGAAGAGAGCUCCACACCGAAACCAUUAUUUAGUCAAUUAUUUAAAGAACCAUCCCUGCCGUAAUUUAAAUAAAUGGAAGUUUUAUUUCAGUUUCUCAACACCCACCAGGGAAUCUGGACUAGUGAUCUGUCUUUACUUGCCAAGAGCAUGCCCGAGUCAUGUACGGUCCAAUUGUCAACUCUCCUUGCAAGGGACAGCAAAUUGCCGGCUUAUAAUAAUAGAGGACGAGAAUAUCCAUUUAAGUGAGAAAGAAGGUAAAACUUAUGGUGGAGAUGAUGUUUUUCGUUUUGUGCUUUAUAAUUUCUUUAUGAAUCCUAAUUAGUUUUAAUUAGAUUAAAUGUGCUUUUCAUAAAAAAAUGUUCUUUUUAAAAUUAAAAAUAAAUUAAUGGAUAAAUAAAAUUAAGCUUUGCCUAAAGAAAUGCAUUUUUUCCCUUACUUAAUUUAAAUUAUUUGAGUUUUGACAUGUAUUUAUUUUAAUUGAUAUAAGUUCUUAUUAAUAAAAAUCAUAGAUCCAUGAAAAUAAAAAUCAUUAAUAAUCAAAAGAAAUAUUAACAAGAAAAAAAUAUUUUUUUAAAAAAAUUUAGAUCAUUGGAGUUUUUAUGAUCAUUUAUUUAUUUAUCGCAAAAAAAUCAAAGAAUCUAUUCAUCUUAAAUUUUAAAUAGAUGAGUUUUAGCCACUAAAUUAGCUUCCAUGAUAAAUGAGAGAAAGCGAGUCAACCGAGAAGGACAACUGAGGUAAAGUUUUUGCAUGUGCUUAGAUCUUCUGUUUUUUACUGGGAAAAAUUUUCUUCGUUAAUCAGUGUUAAUAAUUUUUUUUAUAAUUAAAAGCAUUAUUUUUCAAAUAAGAUUUAAGUUUUUUUAUGGUGAUAUUAUUAAUUAAUCUAUAAAAAAAAUUAUAUAAAUUCUCAUUAUCACAUGAUAAAAUAAAUUCUCAAAUAUUUUUUCCUAUAAUUUAGAUAAUUGAAAUAAUUUAAAAAAUAAUUUCUCGUUAUUAUAAAAUUAAAUAAAAAUAAAUUUUAAAAAUCAUCCUACAACAAAAGCACAAAGCAUAUAACUAGUUAUAACUAAUACACAUAACUUGAGCAAUAUAAUUUUUUUAACCUCUAAGCUAUAACUAAUGCUCCUUUUCCAUUAAACCAAUGUCUCAGUAAUCGAACUCAUUUACCUUUUGGUAUGAAAUUGCUUAUUUUUUUAAUUAUUUAUCAAAGACUAGAUUAGCGACUUUUUUCUUUUUUUAAAAAAAAAUUAGACACUAAUAGUGUAUUUUCUGGAAGUGAGAAAAAUCCAACAUUUGAAUCAUAGAAGAUUUAAUAAGUUUAUUUCAUUUAAUUAUAUGAUAAUAAAAAUUAAUUAACUGAAUUAAACAAAAAAAAUAAUACACAAAAAUAAUGUUUGCCAAUAAAAAGAUUUCCAUAAUCUUAUUUGAUAAAAAAUAACAAUUAAAUUAAAUAAUAUCCAAAAUAUAUUUUUAAUUAAUCUAAGAAUAUAAAAAUAUAUUAAUCAAUAAAAUAUUAAAGGAUGAAACUAAAAAAUAUAUAUUCAAUUUUAUAAAAAGAACCUAUAAAAAAUGACCAGAUUAAAUUAACUCAGGUUAACAUGUCAAACACACGACUUCGAUCAUAUGAAUGAGAUAUCCCAUUGGAAUUAAAUAAAAAAAAUUAUGAAGCUUAAUUCAAAGCCAACCCAAUAUUAAAGAAUAAAAUUAAAAGAAAAAAAUAAUUUAAAAGGAUUACAAAAUUACUUAAGUUAACUUGGGUUACUUGUCAAAUCCGCAACCUGAUUUUUAAAACUGAGAUAACACUAUAAAAAGUAAAUUAAAAAAAAUAUAUAAAUAAACUUGGGUGAACCUGCUAAAAUUAUAAUCUGGAUCAUGAGAGCUGGAUAACUCUAUAAAAAUAAUAAAAAAAUAUAUGAAACUAAAAACAUUACUAAAAAAAAAAAAAUAAUAACCGAAUUAAAUAUAAAAAAAUUAAAAGCCACCUGAGAGAGUCAGGCAUGGAAACCAAUAAGAAAAAGAAAAAAGAAAAAAAACAAUGACCUAUUGAAGCUCAUCAACCACCAUGCCCCGCCUCAUAAAAAAGCAACCACUGAGACGAUUCAAAUGAUACCAAUAAAUACCCUCUUCGUAUCUCAGAGGAAGGCACAUGUGCCACCACAGCACAAUGGCUUUCCCACAUGUUUGCACGUGUGUUAUUCAUGACAAACUAGUUUUUCCUUUUAGGGCCUGGUGUGAAUAAGAAAGUGGUUGAAAAUUUGUUUAUGUUUCAAUUUGAUCCUAAAAGUCUAGAUUAUUUUGAAUCAACAAAAUUAAAUAUGAUUUUAUCAAACUGAUCUUCAAUAUUCUCGAUAUUUUAAAUAAAUAGAAUCAAAUUAAAAAAAAAUCAAAUAAUAAAAAAAAACCAAAAUAACAAAAAAGAAAAACUCCAAUGCAAUAUUACAAUUCACGGUGCAUUGUAAGUGAGGUUAUAGUUUUAACUAUGAGAUAUUUUAUUCAUUUAUUUUAAUUAAUUAAUAAUGUUCAGAAUCUUACGAAGAAGUCGAAUAUUACGUAAAUUUUAACAAAAUACACUGUUCAGAAUCUUCCAAAUUGGGAGAAAGAAAAAUUUGUGAAGAGCAUGCGCCCAAAGGUCAAAAUCACGUAAAUGUUAGCGAAAUAGAAUGAAAAGUCAUCUUCUUCGGAAAGACCUACGAGUGAAGUCUUCGAGAGGAUAGAAGAGAGACAAGUGGAAGGCAGCAGAAAGUGAUUUGCAGUAAAUGAUUUUGAAAUUCUGCAUUCAUCACCAUCAAGACUCCGUAAAAGAGAGGCCACUGCCUCGAUUUUAGAUCACCAAACGCUGGAGCUACUAUCUUGUUUCCACGCCCAGAUUUAUUAGUUGGGUCCCAAGCAACCUCGUCAACUCCCCUUGCAGCCCGUUGCUUGCUUGGGGCCGGCUACAGCUUCCAUGACUAAGACCUCGCAGUGCGCAGUCUCACUCUAAAUUAAAAUAUUCUGCAUGUCUUCCAUUCAUUUAGGGUGUCCUACACUUUCUUAUUUUCUUCUUAAUUAACCUUUCCAUAACCUCAGAAGAGUUCUUUGGUAGGCAGGAAAGUACUCUAGAAAAGUGCUGCGUGCGUGGGCAAAUUAAAAGUAAGUUGUUUCCAGGUAGUUUUCCCAACACUUACGAGUUGGAAACAAACUUUAUAAUACUUUCUUUCCAUCUUGUAUAGCUUCCAUUGCGAGAAUUUACCAGGAAACAAGUUAUUUGGAAGGCAAUUAACUUAUAGUGAGGAGUGCAUAUUUUCUUGAUAGGUUAACAUUUCAAUCAGACAAGGUUGAUGUGCGAGAUCUUUCUAUGUGACUUGUAGAGGGGAGAAAUCAGAACCAGCCGAACUGUUGUGUCUUUGUUAUUACAAACAAUGGAUGCUUUUAUGUUCUUUACUCUCUUCUCCUCCAUGUUUCUAACCAUAAAUGCUUUUGAAUCCAAAUGUCCAAUGGUUAAGUGCAGUCACGGCGGUCCUGAUAUCCGUUUCCCAUUCCGAGCUUUAGGCCGACAACCCCAGCACUGUGGUAAUCCUGGUUUUGAACUUGUUUGCAGAGAUAACACCACCAUGAUUCAUUUCCCAACUUAUGGACCCUUGGUUGUGAAAUCCAUCUCAUAUGAUAUCAGAAAACUCAGUCUUCUUGACCCCAAAAGCUGUGUCCAUGAAGUCUUUCUUAAUCUUAACCUCUCCGGUACACCUUUCCAGUAUUACUAUCUUUUGAAGAACUUUAUAUACCUCAACUGCUCAACCAGGCUUUCGACUUCUUUCGAUGAGGUUUCAUGCUUGAGUGGUUCCAGCCAUCAUGUUUACACAGUCGAAUCUUCGUUGCCCAUUCCAGUUUCUUGCAGACCAUUGAAAGCUAUUCCCAUUCCAUUUUCAUACAGUCCUUAUCUUGCUGAUAACAGUUUUGGCCUUGGAUUAACUUGGAGUUUGCCUGGGCGCAAAGAUGUUGAAGAACAAGUAGGCUCAUGUGUGUUCCAGUCCAAAGCAGGACCUCAAUCAGGCUGUCCCAACAUAACACUGGAUAAAGGUAAAGUCAUAAUCUUCUGUUAGCCCUCGGAUCACUGUUAGCUACUAGUCAUUGUCGAAUGGUGCUGCUAAGAGGUUACUAAUCUGAUGCCUGGAACAAGUUAUCAAAUUGACAAUGACUUUGAAUUGUAAACAAGACUAGGAAAAGUCUUCUGGGUAUUUCAUGAAGUUUCCUUCUGGGUACCAGAGAGAGCACUCAUUUUCUAAAAUAUCAUAGCGGUGGUCCACCUUUCCCGUACUUGGGAAUUUUUAACAAGUAUCCACACACAUUUUUCACAAUUAUGCGCGUACUUAUUUCUUUUUCAUUAUUGAGAAUUAAAAUCCUUAGGUUUGUUGUUGUUCACUUAGGUCCUCUGCUGCCCUAUUCAGAAGCAACUUAUAUACAUAAUUUGAUAUGGAGGUCAGUUUAACAUUCAGAUCUUAAUUACUUUUGCAGGUUUUUCAAUUGUGCAUGUAUUGUCAGGUGAAGCUGUGUCUAUGAUCUUGAACAUUCUGCUAUGUAUUUUUGCGGUGACAACAAUGAUGAUAAGCAUAAAAAUCUGUAACUCAAAGAAGGUUGAUGAACAGACAGAAAAUGAGAAUCUACUGUAGGAAGUAUCCAACUGAAUGAUUUGCUCCCCUACAUACUCGAGACAACUUCUAAAGAUUGAGAUUUUAGAAGGAUAUUAUUAACAGUGGUGGAGCUCUGUUGUUAUGUCUUCUAGUAGAACAGGCUUGCCAUGAUAUGCUUGUAAAAUGAAAACACAAGUCAUCACAGGGCAAGCAGAUUCUGUACUAUCAAGUCCUGAAAUCUUGUUAGAAAUAGUCUACAGUGGAAUAUUGUAGUGGAAACCAGAAGGAAUAGACUAGGAUAUAUUUUUUUCUCUUAAAAUAUGAUGCAUAAGAAUUCUAUUUUUUUUUCACUUGCAUUAGUUGUUUCGUUUUGUAAGAUUUAUGAUUUGGAAAAGAUAAAUUAUUAUGAAAUCCAAUUCACAAAGUCCUUUCAAAAUAGCCACCAGAAUCUCUCUUAUUUCCCUUAUCACAUCAAGAUUAUCAUUUUUGUUUUACAGGCUUCUCUGUUGAAGUUGACAUGGAAAUUCCACUUCUAUGAUCACAGUGAAUAGGCUCUUAAAACUUGCUUACUUACGAUAACAAUUGAGAUAUUCUUCUCCUUGAUCUGUAACCAUUUUUCCAUGAUGAAGGAAUGAAAGCAGGAAAAAGAAAAACCUGAUGGAACUGGAAUCCCUCCCUUGCCGGCUCAUAAUCCAAGAUUGUAACUGUAUACAAUAAAUUGUCUUAAAUCAGACGAGUAUUUUGGCCAGUGAGAGCUAGAAGGAUUAUAUAUUUUGCAUCAAAUCUAAAGCAGACUGUCAGCUGCAGGCUUCCAUUUCAUUACCAAAGCAUCACUGAAGCACUGCUUCAUUAUAUCUGUUGUUUCAGUAUUGAUGUAUGUUAUAUAAUGCUCACGUUGUUGCUCGAUUGCUUCUAUUUCUUUUCGUAGUUACUCGAUCUCUUAAGAAAUCCUUCUUGUUAUAUAAAAUUACCUGAGCUUGUUCCUCUGCAAACUUUACGGCUUCAAGACCAAACUCGCUUUAAAUGAUCUUUCAUGAACUGAAUUUUGAAGCCACCGACAAGUUCCACUAAUUUUAUGCACUUCCACCAUGUCUGACAAACAAGUCUCUGAUCAUAGGGAUAAACAAUCAAGGGAUCAUGGAAUCCCCUAUGACAAGGUUCAAAAUCCUCAAAGAUAAGUAAGCUUCUAAGUUAUGGGUGAGAUGGCUGAAGAUCUUGCUGACAAAUGAUGUUGUAGAAGCUGUAAAUCUGUAAAAUCAUUCCCCUUGGAAGAAGGUUUUGGAAACCUUUCGAUAUCUCAGUUAGUGGUUAUGAGCUACCUAAAUGGAUUUCAAUAAAUUAUAAUCAUAUAGACUUUUAUUUAGGUGACUUUCAGUGGUAUGGUUUGAAGCUCUAAAAAAAGAGACAAUAAUGCACUGGCCGUUUAGAGUUUUUCUUACUACCCAAGAGUUAUAUAGAGAUUAACUUUACUUAAGUCAUUUAUUCUAUCACAUAUGGUAAGUGAGCAUGAAAUUAUCUUUCUAUACUCGUUUAAUCAACCCAAAUAUAAUUCUUUAUGACUUGCAUAGCUUUUCAAAGUUCUCUAUCCGAGAGGGGGUUAAAUUCAUUUUAUAAGGCUAGGUCAUGGGCCUCAUUAAUCAAAACCUUCAUGGUUUUUAACUCUAAUAAGCCUUAUACUUUUAACAUAACUUUAUUAAACAUUGCUUUUAUGCUUUCAUCUUCUUUUUUUGUUUAAGAGAUAACAAAUUUUUUUUAUAAAACUUAUUUAUAUUGGGAUACUAGUGCUAAAUCAGAAAAUGAGCUUAACAAAGAGAUCCUCAAAAAUAAAUAUAGAGUCAGAGUUUAAGUUAUGUCACCAUGUUUGAGCCCUCUAAAUAUUGUAGGCAAAAUCUUGUACAUCACGUCAAUGUCUUACAUGAUUAACUAUAUACUGCUAUAUAUAUAUUUUACACAUGCUAUGUAAAAAGUAAUUAAUCCAUUAUAACUAUAUAAUUUUAUUUCAGCAGAGAUAAAGUUUUAAUGGAGACAAGUAUCGAGACAUAUUUUAUUAGUAAAAAGAUCUUUACUGAUGAGGAUUGUAUAAUUCUACGUCAAUGGUCUAAACCACCAUAAACUUGACUUUUACUCGUGACUUCUAUCAGGAUUAUUAGAGGAGUUGAGGAAUAAUUGUGGUGGUUAUGGAUCUUUUCAUGGAUUUGGUUAUAUGUUUAUUUUUUAAGCUUUUUUCAUAUUACUUCUCUAUUGUUUACUUGGAGAGUGCUUCUCAUAGCUGCAAGAACGACUUCCUAAAGGUUAUAAGAGUGAUGAAGAUCUCUUGUUUUUUUUUUUUACCAUGUCAUUUUGUUCUUCCCCACUCUAAAAAAGGAAUUUUUUGAACAUAUUAGAAGAAGAAAGAGGUGAAACAAGUGGAGUUGGUAGGGCUUUUGGCUAUUUCUAGCUUCAGUUAGAAGCUUCACUUGUUGACAUAAUCUUUAGAGAUCGGAAGCAUUGUUAGUUGAUAGGCCAACAAAUCUUCCAACCCUUGAUAUAUCUUGAUUAGCGGUCAUAGUAAAAAGAACAUUAAACUUAUAAACUAGAAAAAAGGAACUAGUAUUUGUUCAAAGAUUUUUUCCAUGAAUAGUGUCACUAUAAGGUUAUUGAAAACCUUUAAUGAGAACGAUUUUUUAAAGUGGCUGAGGAGAUAAUAGAAAUAGACUUCUGUAGUCGUAAAAUAACACUCUUUAUGGAUUUGGGAUAGAGAUAAUAAUCUGAACAUGAUGAAUACCGAUGUGAAUAAAAUGAUAUUUUUUGAAUUCAAUGAAUAAUAAAUAAUUAUAAAUACAGUUAAAAUCGACUCAAAACCUGCUCGAACCUAACCUAAAAUAUAUAUUUAUGUUAUAAAAAUAUGUAUGUAGAAUAUUUAAAUUUUUUUUAAUACAAAUAUAAUAUGAUAUAUACUAAGGUUAUUUAUGUCAUUUUGAAUCCAUGGGGGCAGGGGCGAAGCAAGAAAAGAAAGUUUGAAGGGGCCAAGAAAUAUAAAUUGAAGGGCCAAGAAAUAUUAUAAAUAUUUAUAAUUAUAAAUAUACAAGGGAGGGACAUUUUCUUGCAGGGGUCGGGGCCCCUGCCAGCCCCCCCUCCCUCCACCACUGCAUAGGGGUAUGCUCAUGUAAAAUAAUUAAUGUAUUUAUUAUCUAUAAUUUUGAAUAAAAGCCAUAGUGAUAUAAAGUCAAGCUGUCAUCAUUCUAGGUUAUAUGAGUUAUGUGUGGUUGAUGACAAGCAUAAACUUAUUUUUAAAAAUAAUAUUUGGGUGAGAGGCAUGCUUGCAUUGAAUAUAUGUGUGUUUUGUUUUUUUAAUUAAUGAUAAAUGGAUAAAGAUAUAGUUGUUAAACCUGACUUGGUGGUUAACCCGGUUUAAUGAUCGAGUCACGGGUCAUAUAAGUUGCCCCGGGUUAACCCGGGUCAACCAAAAAAAAAAAACUAUUGGAUUUCAACUUCUCAUUAAAGCAAAUGCUCCAAAAAGGUAACUUUGAGUUCAGGCAACGUAAUUAAUUUUGCCUGUCAUAUCCCAUGAUCUGUAUAGUUGUAUCCCAUCCACGUUGAUGCUGUCAUUUCUUGUACGAGAACAAAAAAAAUAUGGUAAGAAAUUUUACAAAAAUACCCCAAUUAAAAACACAACAAAAAACUCAAUAAAAAAAAUCCAAUUCCAAAAACAAAUACCCAUUUCCAUAAAUUUUCCAUGAUCCCACCAUUAAAAACACAAAAAAGUACAGACACCAUUACAGACUAUACUUGUGGACACCUUGAAAAGUUUUAAUCUUUUUAGCAUAAGAGGAAGAGGAUUACUCUCUCAAAACCUUAGAACCUCUUUCUAAAGCCUCAGAUCAAACCCAGUAGUGUUGUUCGUGGGUGAUCAUUUCUAGGAGCUCUAAAUUACACGUCGCCAUUGAUUGAGGCAAAGUGGAUGGCUGAGAUUGUACAGAAGAAGAAGAAGAAGAUUAAGGGGAAGGACAACGAUUUGUAAAAAAGAAAUGAGAGAAACUGAAAGGGCCAUUAGCCAAAAAAAACAAAAUUUGAUUGAGAAAAAAAAAGGAGGCUGUUAUUGCUGAUAUUAGCCCUCCGAUUUCACUUGUUUUUCCCUUCUUUUUUUCUUUUACUGUGUAGAGAAAUAAAAAGAUAGAUAGUGUAUACAGUGACCUUGGGCAAGAUAGUUGCAAUGGAAGGAGAGACGAAGAGCAAAACAGUAGGCCGGGUCUCAUCCAGGUUUACCCGGGUCGACCGGGUUUUACCGGGUUAAAUCCCUGGCAGUUUUUUACUUGGACCUGAUCCGAUUUCAGGCCUGGGUCGGCCCCGGGUCGACCCGCUGGGUCGGGCCGAGUUUCAAAACUAUGGAUAAAGAUUUAACUAUAAGGUUAUAAAAUUAUAUAUAUUAAGCAAAAUCAUGGCAACCCAAGCAAGAGCUUCCUGUUUGAAAAUAUGGUUUCAGUAGUUUUUUAAAGUGUUUUUCACUUAGAAAUAUAUUAAAAUAAUAUUUUUUUUUAAAAAAAAUUUUUGAAAUUUACUCAUUAUAAUGAUUUAAAAACACCAAAAUAUAUUAAUUUAAAAUAAAAAAAAUUUAAAUUUUUUCAAAAACACUUUUAAAA
RNAcentral lists this long non-coding RNA (56532 nucleotides) under Populus tremula. RNAcentral describes it as "long non-coding RNA (PTRE_LNC002004)". The stretch from base 10700 to 10786 matches the Rfam family "MIR6459 microRNA precursor family". The record is from RNAcentral. Lineage: Eukaryota; Viridiplantae; Streptophyta; Magnoliopsida; Malpighiales; Salicaceae.